UGAGCUACGGUGGCACACGGUGGGCGACGACUAGGGCACUCUCGUAAUUCUAUCCCUUUUGCCUCCCCCUUUUUUCUUUUUUUCUUUUUCCUAAUUUAUUUACUCAUUUCCAUUAAAACAAAAUAAAUAAUAAAUAAAAUAAAAAAUAAAAAAUUAGGUGUUUCCUUUUCUUAGAUGUUGAUGUGAUGUAUCUCCCUCACGGCUUUUGUGUGUCCUGUUGUGCAAUAAAAUUAAAAAUAAAACCCCCAAAAAAAAAAAAAAAAAGUAGAGCUAGAGAGAGAAUGAGAGUGGAGUUUUUACUUUUUAGAGAGAGAAGGUGGAGGGUUUAGAGAGAGAGAGAGAGGGACAGGAUUUUACAAUGGGAGGAAAAAAAGGGGCAAGUGACAAACAGCGGGGAGGAGUUUAUGAGUUGUAAAGGCUCCACGUGCGGCACGUGUGGAGGAACCCGAGAUCUGGGCGAUUUAUCGCGAUAAAUUGAAGAGGAAAUAGACAAAGUGACGGUGAUUGAUUCUUUCUUUGCAUUUUUGGAACGCCUUCACUUUUACGUGCAUUAAAAGACAAGGAAAGUCUUGGGUGUGAGUGCUCACUGCUCACGCCCCUUCCCCUUGGACCACCACACCCCCACCCCAUCAUCCUACAAAUUUUAAUCAUCCCAUAAUGUAGCAGUGACGCACCAUCGUUGUUAAUUAUUUUACCUAUCUUACGUAACGUCAAAAGGAUAUUUGAUAAAAAUAAAAAAAAAAUUAAAAAAAAAAAGUCCAAGGGACAUGAAAGAUCAUGGUAAAGGUUUUUCCAUACAAGAAGGCCAAGUAACCGUUGGCAAUACCUUUUGAUUUUCAGCAACGGUGGGCUCUUCAGAGUAAAGCUUUUAUACUGACUUUAUACCUAACACAGCACAUUCCAGCCCUUUACUUGACCUUUUCAAACAGCUUACAUACAAAAUAUGCAAUUUUCUACACUGGGUUGUUCUACAAAGUCCGAAAAGGAUUGAGCAGCUGAUUUGCAUUCGGGUUGUUCUUUAGACCGAGACAGAUAGUAUUUUCCAAGGCAAAAAGGCUUUACUGUGAAGAGACGGUGACAAGUAUUUAAAUAGUAGGCAAGUGGGGUGGUUUUUGGAUGGCCUUUUUUCCAUUAAUAUUUUGUAUUGAAUGGAGGGUCUGUGUGUCUAUUCAUAAGUCGGUGAAUAAACCGUACCAUGGUGUGGUGAGUGGUCUCAUGCCUCAGUGACAUCAAUGCACUCUCUCAUGCCCCCUGCAGAGGUUAAUAACUGUACUGAAUCCGUCCAUAUCCACCAUCUGAUCUAUAUACUAUGGGUUUCCACUGAUUGGAUGGGAAUGGGGGGUGGGGGGUGGUCUAUUGUUGUUUUCAGUGGUCCUGACUCCACCUGAUGGUGUGGAGUGGGUACAUUGAUGGUAACAAACUAGGGAAGGGCAUUAUCAGUUUGAUUGAAACCAAUCACAUUUGUAGUCUGUGGUCUACCUGCCUUUUGGGGUAUGGACUCUCAUUGAAUCUGAUGAAGUAGUUGGAGACUUUAUGUCUAUUAUCUUAAUGGCACUAAUUAAUUGGCAUCUGGGGUUGGUAAAAUUGUAACUUUUUGGGGCAUGGCUGUAUGAUAGAAACCAUAGAAUCAUUGUGUGAUGGGGUGGUAACAUUUAUUUUAAUGUUUUUUGACAUGCAUUAAAGUAAAUUAGCAAAAAACAAUUCAUGGGUUUUUGAAUUCUCACCCGAUGAGAUAUUGGGCAUAUUCCCAUUUUUGUCCCAAUUAGAAUCCUCACAUUGGAUUACAGUUGUUUACAAAAAUCAGACUUAUUUUUGUUCUCAGAGGUAGAUUUUUCAACCACAUAUUUCUUCAAAUUGGGAAAAUCUAAAACAGAAUUAUAGCUCAUUUUUUUCCAAAAAUAAAAAAAUAAAAUAUCAUUAUUAUACAAAAACCAGUUUAGGAAUAAUCUAAGUUUUCAAAAAAACAAAUUAUUUUUGUAAACCUUUCCAAAUUAAUAACUAUUUUUUAAAAUAAUUAUAAAAAAUAGUUUUUGGAAACAAUUUUUUAAAACUGUUAUUAAAAUAUGUUUGAAAACUUAAAAUGUUUUUAACUUAUUUUUAAUCAUUUUAAAUAUUUAUAUAUUUAUUUUUUAAAAUACCUCUAAAAAAAAGGUAAAAAUAACUAAAGUGUAUUAUUUAAAAAUAUUGUAUUUUUUAUUUUUAAGAAUAAAAAAUAAAACAUAAUUUUUAAUUAUUAAACAAAUUUUUCAUAUUGUUAUUUUAAAGAAUAGAAAACUGUUUUAAAUAUCGAGGUUGUUGUGAUUGCAUGACUGCUUGGUUAAAUUGUGGCUGCUAAAUUUGCAAAUGAUCAUGAUUAAUAUCUUAAUCGUGUGUAGGAAGCUGUCGCCUGUACAAGAGGUGAGAGUGAGACAGUGAUGAAAAUACGAGUUUUAGUUUUGAUGAAUGACAAAUCCCUCCCAUUUUCAUCACUGCCCUUCACCUUUUUCUAUGCAAACACUUGGUCCAAUAGAAAAGGUGAAAUCAAUAAUAAAAGGGUUGAAAAAGCAAAAGCAGAAGGAGAUCAAUAAUUGCCAGCAAGGUGGAUUGGGCAUCAGAUCUCUUAUAUGCAACUCAACCUCUACUUCUCCAAUUGCCCCCCUCCUUUUCAAGGGCAUGGUCCUAUCACCUAUGUGGGUCACUCUCCCUUUACUUCCAUCAUGCCCAAAAUCCUUUCCCUCUAGGCUCUAUGAUGCCCAAUAACUUAAGUAGAAGUUCACCUUUAUUAUUUUUGGGCAUUAUUGGUACUAACUAUAUGUUGUAGUUACAAGCCAUUCUAUUUAUGGUAACAUUCUUUUUUAUCACCCUUCCAUCUUAAUCCAACUCAAAUUAACCUAUCAAUUAUUUUGUGGUUUCAUUUUAUCUUAUUUUUGAGAAAUCUAAAACUUAUUCUUACGUUUUAUGCAGAUUUUUAUAUCCGUUUAACUAAUCUUAUUUAAAUUAAUUUACGAUUUAAGUCAAAAUCCGAAACUAUCCCAAAUGAGACGUGAGUAUUAUUUUAUUAUUCUAUAUUACGGGAUAAUUAAUUUUGCGGGUUUUAAUAAAAUUUUAAAUUGUUUACAAAUGAAAUUUAGUUGAACGAAAGGCAUGUGAAGAGCAUCCUUGGAUGUUAAUAGUAUACAAAGAAGGAGUUGAUUGACUGCUAAUACCAAUGAUCUUAACUUGCCUUUUGCAUUGGGCGGUCGGCUGCCAUCAUUAACUAAUGAUCUAUGAUUGAGUAUAUUCCAAUACUGUACACGUGUCCUCCAUCCGCUGCACUUCUACAAAAGUGGACGGUUCUCAAGUACCCAGGAGCAAUUUUUUAAUUAGCACUCGCUUUACCAAAUCUGCCGCAUCUUUUCCCAAACACCAGGGUUUGGCUUCGUAAACAAGACUCAGCAACCAAAUUAAAAAUAAGUGAGUGAAACCCUGAAGUACGACGACACGUGGGAUCACAGCUGGAGUAGCAAUCAUGCCUUCCACUGGGUAGUGUGAUAUGCCACGUUGGCAAAAAGUGGGUGUCCCAGAAAACGUGUAAUGAUGGUGGAUUAUAUUGGAAAAGCAACUUUUCCACGUGGCAUGGCACGCCACGUCGAUAGCGUAGAGGGCUUUAUUACAACUGGAAGACAUCUGGCACGCGUUUUUGUUGUAAAUUGUCUGGCAGAAGUGGGCCACGUGGUGCCAGAGUAGGUCCACAGACAGCUCAGCGACUGGGAUUGUCGGUCGCUUUCGCUAGCUGUAAAUCAUCAUAAGCGGAGAAGCGUCCGUAUGCGGAUGACGUCAUUAUUAGAAACGAUUUUAUAGAAAUGAAAGUAAUUUUUGUUGGGUGGUGGGUGAGAUUUUUGAAUGAAAGUUCGAGAAAGUAGGGAGGGAGAGAGAAAGGAAAAAAAAAGUUUAAAAAAAGGCGGGACAGCGUGGCGGGCAUUUUGUGGAGGAGGUGGUGUUUGGGGAGUAAUAGAAUAUGGGGCUGUUUGGCUAAUAGGAUAGGAGUUCGGCUACGUGUAUGGAUCUGAUUGGCUAAUCCUGACAGAGAAAAUUUUGCCUAGUGAGAGAUGAUCUCGGGAAAGCAAAUAUAUUUGUUCGAGAAAUAUUAAAUUUUUAAUUCAUUUGCAAUAAAUUCAAUAGCAUAUGAUAUGAAAUAUUUACAUUCCAUAAACAAAUUUUCCCUUAUUUUGAUUUAGAUUUUUUUUUUAAGGUAUGGUAUCGGUAUAUUAAUACUAGAUUUUCUCAUAUAGAAAUAGAAUAAUAUGAAUAACUAUGAUAUCCCUCAUAGUUUCAACGGGAAAGUUCUCAAAAUUGUUUUUUAAAACUGUGAUAAUUUUGGAUUAAAAGUAAAUAAUAUCUAUACGAUUGGAUGUGAGUUACGAUAUUAUAUUUUUAUUUUUUGAUACGUGGAUUAUACACACGUUUUAAAAUAGCAAAGCCAUAUAGUCGGUGUAUUAUUUAAUAUUUGGAUAUUUUAUAAUUGUUAAUAAUUUUAUAGUUUUCACAUACGUGUUCCCAAUUUUAAAUAUUAAAACUCGUUUUAGGAAAAAAAAAUUUAAUUUCUAUAUCACAAAUAAUAAAAAUUAAUUUAAUUUACCAUGUUUGAGUUUUUACAUAAGCCCGUCUAAUUCCAUUAAUUCAUUUGUUUGAAAUUUUAUUAAAUACAUUUUAUGUCAUUAUUUUCUUUAGUUAGUUUUAUCGCUCAAGAUACAUGAGUUAUUUUAUAAAAUUUUAACGGAUGAGGAUUAAAUGUAUUUAACAAAAUCUUGAAAAUAAAUGAAUGAAAUUAAUCAUAAAUAAUAAUGCCUCCCUUUUCCAUACAUUUUUUUAGAAAAUCACUUAAUUAAAAAAAUACAUCUAUAUUAAUUAUCAAAUAAUCUUUAAUGUAAAAGUGAAUUUAGGUGAGAUUACUCAAUAUAAAUGUUUAUAGUAUGAUAUACAUAUUUGAACUCAAAUCCUAUAAAUUUUAAGUUUUUCGAAAAAUUGAUAAUUCAAUAUGAUAUCAGAGUUUUGUAUGAUAUGAGAUUGUAAACUCAAGCCCCUUCUCCACAAUUUGUAUGUUCGCUUCCCAGUCUAUUCCUCCUCUCCCCCCUACCUAAUUUGCAAUUCCGUGGUAUAACUCAACUCAGAGAUAAUGGAGAAAAUCUAUCACUACUGUGGCUAUUCAUAUUCAUCAGUCCAAUAUAACUCCAAAAGAGGUCAUUUUCAAUGUCUAUAUAAUACCAUGUUGCAUGUAGAUAUGAAGAUGAAUUGGUAACUGCUAGAAUCCAAUGUGUUGCAAAUUGCACUUCAAUUAUUGUUUCUGGAUUUGCUAAUUGCAAAGCUGUCUUCAUUUAUUUGAUGCUUAUCAUUAUUUUUUAACCUAUUGGUAAAAUAUAGGUGGCAAAUUUGUUAGGACGGUGGAAUUUGUACAUUAUGAUUUGAUUAUUAAUGUAAAAUAAGAUUUUUGGGUUGUCUUCUACUAUGGUCAAAAAUCUUGAUUAGUUAUUUUGCAUAUCAAUUUUUUCAACUUAAGUCGUAAAUGAAAUUAUGAAUAUGAAAACCAUUUUUUUUUUUACAGCAAAAGAACUUUGACCUUCAUUUUAACGAAGAAAAAAAAAACUAAGAGAAAUGUUUUUCUAUUGUCUUAUGGAGAGAGAUAAAAAAAAUAAGAAAAAACAUGGUUUUUUUUUUUUUUUUGGUCUUUAGAGAGAUUUUUUCACAGAAAAAGAAAAAGAAAAACUUUUCUUUUAAUAGUAUCAUGCUCUUUGAAAGUUUUAAACUUCAAAACACAGCUCCCUCGUUUUUUCAUUUUCUUAUUUAUUGGGUUAAAUCAGGUCAACCCAUUUGGGUGCCUAAUCCUAACUCCAACCGUUAUCAUAAAUAAGUGUUUCAAUUAUUCAUUUAUCAUUAAUUUACUUUUCUAACGAAUGAUAAAACUUCUUUAAACUUUCAAUAACCUGACUAAAAUGGCAUCGGACAACUUACAUUUAAUCUAUAUCAUGGAACGGUUUCGUACAAAAAUUACUUGGCAUUAAUGCUUAAUCACAUUGGAGGGCUAACCUAUUUUGUUUGAUACAUUGGACACACUUCAAUUAUUUAUACAGGCAAAUAAAACAAAAUUGUUCAUAAUUUUAUUCCUACUUGCAAAAAUGAGACAACCAAGUAGCCCUUAAAAUACUAACAAGCAUAAUUUGUAGAUUCUUAAGAAUGUAGGAGGCAUACUGAAUAUUGAAUACAUCUUUCAUAUUUUCAAUCAAUUGACUACCUUGUCUUAUAUCCAUAUCUCACAUUCAUAGGGUGGAUUAGAUUUAGUCCACUGAAAAUGAUGAUCACAAAAGUUUAUUAAAACAAAUGUGAGAUUGUGAUGUGAUUGAUACAAUUAUUUUUAUUAAAAAAAAGGGUCAAUUGUAUGAUUCAAAACAUCCAUACAUAUAUUUAAUUAAUUAAUUAUUAUUAUUUAUAAUUCAUGACCUCGAUUUUCCACUAAAGGAGUGGGUGGAAUUCUUGACAACCACUAAAAUAUGUGGGCAAGUUGUACUUUUUAUAUUUAUUUAUUAUUGUUAUUCAUUUUGUCAAUCCUUGAAUUGAUUAAGUCUAUGUUAUGGGAAAGUGCCAAUUUCUCUCUCCACGUGCAUAGCAUAUGACUAAUUUAUUAAAUUAGUGAAGCUUGAGAUCAACCUGCAGCUGCAUAAGGUAGGGAGAUUACAACUUUUGGUUCGAGGAAAUCAAGGAAACCUUUGAAGGAUUGAUAGAAAAGGGUUUGGUAUUAAUCAUUUGUGUAGCUUCUAUGCUUGAUGCUACUACUCCUAUUCAACCAUUAAUAUAUGGUUUUAAUUUUUUGUACUUAAAAUAGUAUUAAUUUGAGAAUGAAAGCUACUUUAUUGGUAUAAUUUGUAAGGAUUUGCGAUUAAUUUAAACAUAGCCGCUCGUAACCCACCAUAGAACCCUUUUUUAUUUUUUUUUCAAAUUCUUUAUUUGUGAAACUAUUUCAUUGAAAACAAGUUUUAUAAAAUUCAAUAUGGUUUUUGGGAUUUCUCAUCUGAUCGCUCCCGUUAAGCCAAGUUUGAGUAGGUGAUUAUGUUAUUAGAAUUCUUAGGUUUAGGACCGACAAGAGAUCCUCGUGAGUCAAGCUAAAAGCGGUAAGAUGUUAUUUAAAUUGACUUUUGAGAAUUAAAAAUUAUUUUUUAAAUUUAAUAAGAAUUUUUAUGUUUAUUUUGUUAUUUUUAUUUAAAACACUUAGUAGAAACUUAAUUUUAGGUUAUAAAAAAAGCCCUUCUAUAUUUGAUAAAAUCUUUAUAAUACCAAUACCAAAAUUUCAAAAUUAUCUUUUACCUUGUGAUGAAAGCCCAAAAAAAAAAAAGGAGUAAUGCCAUGUGAGGCAUAAGAGGCCUUAGCCCACACCCCACCAUUUACAAAGACAACAAAACCUUGGACCUGGGCCUCGGAGCACAGGCCCAAUGGGAGAAGAAUGGGUGGUCCUCUAUGAAUUUGUACGUUACAAUACUUCAUAUAUGGACUUGAAUGAUGUUCUUAAUUGCUGGAUUUUUUUAAAGAUAAAUGGGAUGGGAUAGUCUCAACAUCAUCAACUUCAAAUCAAUAUUUGUUGAUUCAUUUUCCUUUUUCAGCCUCUUGAAUCCCCAUGCACGUAACGGAUGUUGCUCUCACGAUUUCUCACUAUAUAUACAAACCACAGCAUACAUGCUUCCGCACUCGAUCGACAUGGCUCUGAUGCUGAAGCUCUUUCUUUUCACUCUUCUCUCUGCAUGGAGCCUGGGAUCCAUGGCUUCCGCACGGUACCUGGACAAGAGCUUCAGCCUUGCUGCUCGAUUACAUGCGGACGACGACUCAUCAUCCAAGUGCUGGGAGUCUUUGCUUGAGCUUCAGGCAUGCACUGGAGAGGUUGUCCUGUUCUUCCUCAAUGGUGAGACUCACCUUGGGGCCGGCUGUUGCCAAGCCAUUCAGACCAUUGAGCACCAAUGCUGGCCUGCCAUGCUUACUUCCAUUGGUUUCACUGCCGAGGAGGGCGACAUCCUCCAAGGUUACUGUGAUGCAACCACAUCCUCUUCGGCUCCCCCACCACCACCACCACCACCAUCCAUGGAGCCUAAUGACGUGGUUACCUUGGGUGGCUUUUUCCUCGAUCCUUAGUAGAACGCGUUCUUACUAGCAGUUAUGUCUUUUACAUAUAUCUGAUCCGCUAGUCUAAAUAUAUACAGAAAAGGGUGUUUGGAAUUAAUGAAUGAUUUCCUAUAUAUUGCCCCAUAUUUGUUGCAAUUAAAUUCCAUUUCUUGCUUGAAAAAAAGGUAUAAUAAUUUCCCAUCAUUGAUAGCACUAGUAGUUGUCUUUUAUGGGCUGGACGAGACACACAGAUCGACCCACAAUUCUGCUUACCCAGCCCAUGCUCAGUGGUUUGGACUAACAUAAUUGGAGGCCCAAAAGGGAUAUCAAUAAUAAGAUAAUGUUUGGAAGAUGAGUCUAUUUUUGUAUCUAGAUAAGACCAACUCAUCCCCCUCUAAUUAAUGGAGAGGUAACGGCGUGAAGGGCAAGAUUCUCAAGGACUCAAAAGCCUUUUUGCUUUGAUUUUCCAUCAAGGCAUCAGUGCCAUACACAUAAGUCCAUAAGGUAAUGAAUAAGGAGCGUCAAAUCAGGGUGGGAUGCGAAUAUGCGGAUUGAAAGCCAAGUAUUGAUUUUAGUGGUAUGAGGUGGGUCGUGUAUGGAUGGUGACAUCUAACUAUAAGUCUCUCAAAAGACUUCAAACUUCCCCCCAUCUCCGCCUUCUUUCAUGCUCUUUCCACUCUUCUUUUAACGUAGUAAUUUUUUUUCCCUUUGGGUAAUUAGGAUCUAAGCAUGGAAGAAGAGAAUAUUCGGAUGAGUGUUUCAAGAGUUCUUGGCUUUCUACACAUUGUUACUUCAUUUUCAAGCUGAGGAAUCAAUUGGUCAUUUGUUAUGUGCUUGUUUGUGAUCAUUGGGAAGCAGAUUUAGGGUUUUGAAAGGUCAAAUGCUAAUCAACAGAAGAAGAAAUUUACACCCCAUGCCAACAUAAAGAGAUAAUUGUGGUUAGGAUAGAUUUCAUAUAAUUAACUUCAACUAACUUCUCAUGACCUGCCAUUCCUAGUCAUCAUUCAGUUAGUUAUUUCCUUGCUAUGCCCAUGAUCGAUGCAUCGACCGUUUGCCACUUGUUUUCAUCCAAAAACCUGUCAUUUUCUCUCCGAUCUCGAUCCACUAGAAUGGAUCAAACUGGAUUCUUUCUUCCUCUGGAAUAAUGUAAAGCUAGACUAAAAUUUUAUACAUUCCUCUAUUGGUUGAUGGUUUAUUAAUGGUGAGAUAUCUUGUACAAAUUGAAUCAUCAAGGUCAUUGGAGUGGUGUCCUUGUUGACUAAUUAAUGGGUCCAUGUUUCAUGAUCAUAAGGCCAUCUUGCAUGAUUCAAAUAUACCCUAUUGAAAUGGUAUACAUACACAUGCACAUUGUUCAAAAACGCCCUAGAAAAAGGAAAGGAGGAUAAAAAGAAAUACAAGUCGUCCACUAGUGCCAUAUGUGGAAAAGUAGUGAGCAUACAGAUCUCAACUCCCCUAGAGAAAAUUGUCCUCGUAUGGAACCUCAACAAUGAAUUCUAGAGAAAGCUGUCAAGUGAUCACAGUCCAGAUGAAUCUUGAUUUAGAAGUUAGAAAAAUGAAGGGUUGUUAGGUUAGGGUAGUUAGUCAAUGGCACAAAGAUGUUAUCUUAAAAGUUGUGGAGGAGAGGAGAGGAGAGGAGAGAGUCAGAAAAAAGAAUGAACCUAUCAGAAGAAAGUAAGAAACAUCAAACUAUAAUCUUAUUAACAUGGAACGAUAAUCAUGAUAAAGCCACACAACAAGGGUUUCACAAGGACACACAGAGAGACCCAGGAAACAAGACACAAACUCAUCCAACAUAGCUCAGACAUAGAAAUUAUUUAGCAUAGUUGCUCACUGGCAAUUGUAAAUCUAAUUACACAACAAGCACACAUGCAUGCGUCUAGAAAAGAUGGUGAUGCUUCUUUCCAUGAGCCUCUUCAUCUUCUUCCUUGGCUUCUUUCUUCUCGUGAUGCUCGUGGAACGCGAACCCGCCAGCUCCCACUGCAGCAGCCGCGGCAAUCUCUUCUUCUAUCUUGUGCUUGUGGGCAUGCUCAGGGUCUUUCUCCGACUUGUGCUUCUCAUGCUAUAAUUCAAGCAUCAUCAAGACGAUAAGAAAUAGUUCCUUUGUAUAAAAUUAAUUAAAACAAAAAUAUUUUCAAACUUCAUGACACACGGGGCAUUACCAAGGCGUAAGCGCCAGCAGCAGCGACGCCGAGCUCGCCGAGGUGCUCGAGAUGCUUGUGGUGCUUCUCCUCCUUCCUGUAGUCAGGGCCUGGGUCAUCUGCUAACACUUCGGUGGUUUCGGCAGCGUAGCCGCUGACACCAUCGGUAGCAUAGCUGGUGUCGGAGUAGGUGGUGUCGGAGUAGGGAACGGCGUCGUCAACAGGCUUGUCCUUGUGGUGGAAGAGGUGGUGGUGAUGCUUCUCCUCCGACAUGGUGGUGGUGAUCAAAUUAGCUGCAGAAACGAGAGAGGAAGAUGGUUUGUGAACUGUGAAGGUGUGAUGUGGGAGAGUGCAGUGGUGGGUGGUGGGGUAUUUAUAAAUGCUGGUUGCGAAGGUGUCCAAAGAUCGUGGGAGAGAUGAAUGGGUAUUGGGAAUGGCCCGAAUGGGUGGGGCCUCACCAUUCACCAUUCUUAUCUACAUUUUUCAAAUCUCGAUGGCUCCUACUCUGUCGAUACUUUGUUUUUGUGUCGGCAAUUUCAUUGGAUCUUUAACCACGACAUUUUUUAACCACAUUUUUAGAUUUCCGUGAUAUUAUCAUAAUUGUUUUUGUUAGUCAUUCGUUGGAUUUAUUUCAAAAGUAGGAAAAUGUUUGAAAAAUAUACAUCAUCAUUUGCGUCUUUGAUCCACUCUCAAUAGGAAAUAAAUAAAUAAGAAAAGAAAACCACAAAGUCUCAGGUAGCAAAGAGUCCAUAUCAAAGUAUCAAACCUUUUUAUCGAUGAAUAUUUUUAGGAAGAACAAUCUAUUAUUUGUAAAAUAAUUUUUAUAUAUUGAGUGAUAACCCUUCAAUUCGAUAUCGUUAGAUCAUUAAGGUCGGCUUUUGUCCCUAUUCGACGGGUGGAUCUUGUAGUCAAACUCCCUUUUACCUUUGCACUCAAGGUCCAUCUUUGUUUUGCUUGAGAAAACCUUUGUUAAUUUCCAUUACCUUUUGAGAGACUUACGCUCUAUAAAAAUUAUUUAUCUAUUCCUUGACGAGGAAAUUCAAAUUCUUUUACUUAAAUUUAUUUUAUAAAACAUUAAAAAAGGUUAAAUAUAAUAAAAUUAUUAAAAAUUUGAAUUUAAGAAAUCAUUUAUUUUUUAAAUUUUGACAUGAACAUAUAUGGGUAAAAAACAAAAAGAGACAAAAACAAAAUAUGUUUUUUUGUGCAGUAAUCAAUUAAAAAAUCACUUUCAAUUUAAUAAAAGAUGUAAUUUUUAAUAUUAAAGCUUAGAGAAAAAAGAAUUGACUUGAUUGGAAUGAAUUACAAAAAUCACACCCCAAUGAAGAGGAACCCCAUACAGCACCUCCUUUCCUUUUCAUAAAGCAAAGACCUUUCAUCAGUAGGCAUGUGAAGGAGGGAAAUGAACUUGGCAGAUUCCACCUUAAAGUGCUAAAACAUGGCACUUGCCCCUCUUUCUAAUCAAACUUAACCCCACCUACAUUAUCUACAUUAUUUAUUGUACAUUAUCUUUCUCCAACUAAUACUAGUAUUUCACAUCUCACAAUUUUUUUAUUCUAUUGGAUGUGAGUCUAUUAUUGCAGUUAGGUCAGCUAAUCAGGAUCCCAUGGAUAAGGUGCCACAUAUUAAUAUUUUAGCCUUUUAGGUGUUGCUAUUCAUCCUCCUUUAUGACUUGGGCUCCAUUUCUUUGCUUGAACCUCACUUUUAGGGUAAUUUCUUUUCUUGGACUAUUAGUUUAUUUGUUGCACAUAAAAAGGCCACUUUAAUGGCCGUCAAACUUUGAUAAAAUAUGUCUUAUUUUGUACUUUAAGGUGGUGUUUAUUUUUUAAUUGAAUAAAAAAAAAAUAAAAAUAUUUGAUUUUUUCUAUUUAAUUAAAAGUAAUUUGUUGAGAUCGUUCAAUGUAACUAAAAUGAACUUGUUAUCAAUAAAUUUACUUUAGUUAUGUUAGACAAUAUUAAUAGGUUACUUUUAAUUGAAUAGAAAUAAAAGUCAUUUUAAUUAUAUUGGACAAUAUUAACAAGUUAUUUUUAGUUGAAUAGAAAAAACUAAAUAUUUUAAUUUUUUUUAUUCAGUCAAAAAACAAACAUCACCUAUAAAAAUUGAUAACUUUUAUAUAUUUGUACUAUGGUAGAUGGGCUUGGCCCACUUGGGCGUAGGGUAGAUAUUUGAAUUUUGAACAGAAAAAAAAAAAAGGGAAAAAAGGAAAAAAGGAAAGGGGAAAGAGAAGGAGAAGAUAAAUCAAUAAAUCAUAAAAGCAGGAAGGAGAGGUGGAAAAUGGUCCUCUGGUCUGGACCAGGAGAAAGUGGCCGGUGAUGGGGCCCAUUGGGUCUGUGUCGGCAAGGCCCCAUUUAUUUCGGCAUCAAUAUACCUGCCUGAUUGGUUCCAUGCCUGCCAUAUGUUUACGCUUUUGUCAAUUAUUAUAAAAAACAACUUCUUUGUCAAUAAACUCUUUAAUUUUUACUUCUCUAUCGUCUUUAAUGGGUGUGAAAAAAGUCAUACAUGCCUAUUGUAUUCUUCUCCUUUUUAGUAGGUAAAAACCUACAGGCUAUCCCUAAACUGAAUUUUAUAAUAUUUCAGAAAAUAUGAAAUUUAUUUUUAAUUAAUAAAAAUUUGGAUUAAAUAUCAAUCAUAAUUUCAUAACUGAUAUGGCCGGUGAUAAAGAACGAGUGAGUCACGCUAGGGCCACGGAUGUAUCACAUUCAUGGUGUGCCUGGGCUUAGUGGUUGAUGUGAAAUAGAUAUAGGUGUAGCGCAUAGUGUAAACGGGCCCAGGGAAAUUCAAAAUCGCGUUGCCACGUUCCAUAGAAAGGACAAGAAAUUAGAAGCUGGGAGUGGUCCACGUCUUCCAGGUAACCCCCACGCUGCUAACGAUUAUUCAAUGCCUUCCUACUCCAAAUCAAACCUAAUGUUCAACAUCGACAUGUCUCAUAUGACACAUCCUUAUAGAUGAAGUUGGUGAACUGUGGAGAAGAGAGAGUAAGGGCGUGUGAGCGGAGAUAAUUCACAAUUGAUUGGCAGGUUUCGGAUAUUUUCUUCGGCUUUGUCCUGGGUUUUUGGAAAGGUUUGAUUGGCCCGACCCAAUCCUACAACCCAUACUAAACCACACAAUCGAAUCCUACGAGAGACCAAACCCAACCUUAAAUCAAGUUCCUCAUUAUGGGCUUCAUAGCCCAACUUAGCACUCCAGCCCAUCCUAACAUUGGGAAAAAUAAAUUAAUGAAAAUUAAGACUAGAUAUGAAUAAUUUCUUUUAUUAUCUUAAACUGCUGAAAGGGAUUAGUUAUCCUACACAGCUUGAACAGAAAAAGAGCCCUCUAAAACUCACCUACUUGAGAUUUAAGGCAUAAAAAAGUCCUUACCUUAAUAAUUGUAAGAGAUCGUUGGAUCAAAUGAUUCAAAUCUGGGACUUGCUCACACAAUCAAUCCAUUUCAUGAGACGAAUUACCAGUGAGGCUCUCUUCACCAUCUACAAGAUUUCGGAUGUAGCGAGUCAAGUAAGAACUUGGACCAUAGCAAAUGCUUGAUAAAAACCCUCCAUACAGUAAGCAAUGGAUGCCAAGCUUAAACAGAUUUUUCCUCUCUUGGUUGGUGUCUCUCUGUGCUUCAUACCCACCAGUACUUUCUUCAUCCCAACUCGAAGAAUCCAUGGCAGUGCAGCCUGAAUGAGCCUGAAAACCCCAGAUCUUGGAAGUUUCCAUCUUUUGCAGCCAGUUGGAAUCAAUGGGAUCUUUAAAUUUUUUACAAAGAUGGUGUCCCUGGAUCAGAAAACUCCAAACUUUUGGUGUAAUACUUGAGACACAGUUAAGGAACUGCUUAGAUAUGUUCUCCAAUCCUCCAUUAUGAGCUUGACUCCCAAAAAAAUUGGCCUCGAAUUCAUCUGCUAGUGAGCACUCAUUGCAUUUAUGACUCUGAAGAGACGAAAGAUUUAGAACAGGCAACCUCCCUUUCACAAAGGAAUUCAAUAGUGAGCUUCUAGCAAGACUUAAAAGGGACUCCCCAGCAUUCAUCCAGAAGUUUGCAAUUGAUGCGAUCAAAGAAGAGUCAGAGAGGAAAAUACGGUGGGUUGCACCUGCAAGCAACAAGGAGUAUGCUGCACUGGUCUUGAUCAAGCUCAAGGCUUCCAGCUCAUCUCCGUCCAUUUCAGAAUGCAGAUCCAGUAAUUGACUAGCACGGACUCUGUAUGCAGAAGCCAGUGUUGUGUAGGCGGCCAAAGAGAGAUGGUGCAGGGGGUGCAACUUGAAAUUUGCUUGUGAUUUUCCCUCAAUUGGUUCUAACUGCUCAUCUGGAAGACCUUGAGCAAUAACAUUCUCAAGCUUCUCACAGCAAGCUUCAGGGUUGCCAACUGACAAAUAGUCAGCUAUAGCAUCAUCUACAUAAUCAGUCAACUUUCUGAUUUCCUCCUCUCUACACAUGUUAUCAUCUAUGUAAUUGAGACUAUGAGCCAAAGUUUCCUAUAGGGAAGAACAGAGAAAUGUCAAUCCUUGUUUUAUGACAGUACUAGAAUUCAGGCACUUCAAUUGCAGAUUAAAAAAUGCUUGUGAAGUUCAGACUUCAGAGUUGAUACAGAAAUAUUGUGAGUACUUCACCGUACAAAGUGGCCCCCGAAAAAUAACCAGAGUGGACAAGGGAAAGGAUAAAACAGGAUGAGAAAAGCUACUAUGAAUUACUCAAUAGCUUUUCCUAGUUCCAAUUGAUAUGGAGAAAAAGACUCCAACUGUCUGUCAGCCUUUUGAGAAGGAAAAAGCAGAUGUAACUAAGGGAGACAACUUGAAGAAACAAAAGAUAUGAAAGGCAAAGAAGAAAAUAAAUAGCACACAUACAGAUUCUGGAUGCAGCUCUAAUUGCAAAUGACGCAGCUGACUCAAGGGAGAGAAGCUCUAGGGCUGGUUUAGUUUGCAAGUUGGACAUAUGUACUUUGGUGUGCCCCUUUUGGCAUUUUAAUACAAUUUGCACUUACCUAUCAAAAAAAAAAAAAAGUUUGCAAUUUGGACAUAGAAAAGGCUUAUGACCAUGUUGAUUGGAAUUUUCUCCUCCCAGUAACGAAAAAGAUGGAGUUUGGUCUAAAAUCGAGAAAGUGGAUUCAUUUUUCCAUUGUAAGGAUGUCAAUCUUAGUCAAUGUUUCUCCUUCAGAUUUCUUUCAGACAUCUAGAGGAUUGUGGCAGGGUGAUCCUCUCUCACCCUAUCUCUUCAUGAUUGUCAUGGAAGCUCUACAUUGUAUACUCUCAAGGGCUGACUAGGGAGUGUUCAUUCAUGGCUUCAAGGUCAGGGGCAGAAGGGGUGAAGGUUUCCAAGUAUUCCAUCUCCUGUUUAAGGAUGAUAGAAAAAUUUGGAUCAACUAAGAUACUGGAGGUGGAUUGUAAUAGGCUUCAAGGUUGUGUUAGGUCUGAAAAUAAACCUGUAAAAAAGUAACUCAUUCUAAUGGGGAAAGUGGAGGAUGUGGUGAGAUCAUCAUCUUUGCUUGGGUGUAAGAUUGGAAGGCUUCCCACUUCUUAUCAUGGUUUGCCCUUUGGAGUGCUUCAUAAGUAUUGCGUUGUAUGGGAUGCUGUCAAGGAAAUGUUUGGUAAAAGAUUGGCUUCUUGGAAGGUGUGGUAUUUGUCAAAAAGAGGAAGAUUAGUUCUUUCAAAGAGCACUUUCUCAAGCUUAUCAAUCUAUUUUAUGGCCUUUUUUUCUAUUUCCAGGAAAGUGAGGAUCAAAUCAUAAAGGAUUCAGAGAGACUUUUUGUAAGGAAAUCUUUGGUAAACCAAUAAGAUGCAUUNNNNNNNNNNNNNNNNNNNNNNNNNNNNNNNNNNNNNNNNNNNNNNNNNNNNNNNNNNNNNNNNNNNNNNNNNNNNNNNNNNNNNNNNNNNNNNNNNNNNAGGAAGAACAUCCAAAGAAAGUGCAGGGAACUGGUCAAGGGGUGGAACAUUUGUGAGGUGAGGGAGACUUCUGGUAUAAGCCUAUGGAAAGACUUAAGAAAAGGUUGGGAGGAAUUCAACCACAGGAUAGCUAUCCAAAUUAAAAAUGGUAGCCAGACAAAAUUUUAGAGGGAUGGGUGGGUGGGUGGGGGGGAACUGUUUGAAAGAAGCAUUUCCUCUAUUGUUUAGUCUAGCUUCUCAAAAGAAUGCCAUUGUUGCAAACAUGUGGGAUGGGAGAGGUAGUGGAGGCCAGUGGGUGCAUUUCAAAAGGCCAUUCCAAGAUUGGGAAAUGGAGGGGGUGUCCUAAUUUUUAGAACUUAUUUAUUCAUACAGCAAAAGUGCAAGAAGAAGGGAAAGAUAUCUUAGUUUGGAAGGAGGAUAGGAAGAGAAUCUUCAGUACUAAGUUGUACUACAGUUCAUUGUGUGCCGAAUUUAGAGUGGACUUCCCAACCAAAGAAAUUUGGGGGCUCCCAAGCUCUUACGAGAUCAUGUUUUCUCACUUGGGAAACAGUAUGGGAGAAGAUCUCAACCAUAGAUUUGUUAAUGAAGAGGGAUGGACAAUGUUAAUAGAUAUAGUCUUUGCAAAGAGAGUGAUGAGUCUGCUGAUCAAAUUUUCAUUCACUGUGCAAUGACAAAGGUAUUAUAGAUGUUUGUUUUAUCAAUUUUUAGUUAGAAAUAAGUUUCUAGCUACAGUGAGGAAUAUGCUUCUCAAGUGGAAGUUUUUAAGGUAUUGGACAAGAAGAGUCACCAUCUUUGACAAAUGACACCCCUCUGCUUAUUCUGGUGUAUAUGGAAAGAGGGAAACCAUAAAAUCUUUAAUGGGGAAGAGCUUGCAUAUUAGAGAUUAAAAGAGAGCUUUAUUAAAUCCCUCUUUGAUUGGUCCAAAGUUCUGUUAGAAAUGGGCAAUUCUGAAUGAUGGCUUUCGUAAAUGGUCUUAGUUGUGGAUAGUUUGGUUUUGAGUUGAGGUUGUUUUUUUAUUCGUUGUUUUGUUUUUUUUGUGUUUACUCCCAGUAUAUGUAAGGUAUGCCCCCUUUCAUUGGCAUGCUCUUUUAAUAUAUUAUCCUUUUGCUUAUCAAAAGAAAAAAAGAAAAAAGAAAAAAGAAAAAUAAAGAGAACACAUAAAUCAGGGGAAGGAUGAAGGAAUUAAACCAAUAGGAAUGAGAAACAGUUGGGUAUAUUUUUUCGACAGAUACUUCAUGCAGCAGGGGCAAGAUGGGGGAAAACCUUACCACUCCUGGUGCCAUAAAUGUGGCAUAUAUGCAUCGUGUUCUAACUCCACACCUAGUACUAUAAUUUUCACAGAAGACGAUCACCCUUCCCCACCCAGCAAAUCUAAAAUCAAGUUGCAAAAUGAAUCUUCUAGACUGCUUUCGGAUUUCUCCUAAACAUCAAAAUAAACAAAUGAUAGGCAUACUGUUCCAUAGAAGUCUUACUUGCAAAACAAGAUCCACAUAAGUAGGGGGCGAUGCAUUACAACGGUUACAGCAACAGGAAAACCAAUACUUCACCCAUAACUCUGCAUGUCUAAUUUCCUGGAAAAUCAAAUCAGUGCAAAUAAAAGCGUAUAACGUGAACUCAAAAAACUAAAAAAAAAACAGAGUAUAGAAGGAUGAGUUGGAACACAUUUUAGCACAAUGCCACUGAGUUCACUUACACUAUGGUGAUUAUGCAAGUAAUAUAAAAUCAUGCAACUUCUCAUUAGGUCGACUCCUUGUCAUUUUUCGCAAUCACUUCAAACAUAAGGCACAAUGCAAUAAUCUAAAAGCUUAAAAGUAAUAGCAGAUAUGCCAAAUUUACAAGCACAUUUUGCACAUUCAAUCUCUUAACAGUGGAACUGUAGAUACUGAAAAUGAAGAUUACCUUAGGCUGCAACAGGUCUAUGUAUGCAACCCACACCUCCUCACCCUUUUUAAUUGCCUUGAUGCUCCGAACGAUGAUUCUUGGCCCGUGUAUGUUGCAUCCUUUACUAGAGAAAAUCAAUUACAAGUAGAUAAUCAAAAUAUCCAAUAAAUUCACAACUGAUUUUUUUGAGAAACCAAAUUGAAAAAAACAUAAAAUAAUUAAAAUAAAAAAGAUUCAAUCACCUUCUAUUGAUUCACUUUUGCUACGAACAGCAUUCUGUAUCUGAAAAACAUUUCGGUUUCAUAAUUUUCAAAUCCUUUGAAUAUGGUUAAAAUUAAAGAAACAAUUCAGAAUUUAGGAAUAGUGAUCUAUUUUUCUUUACUUCAAUUUCAUCAUUGCCUCCAGGGAUAAUCUGGAGCCUCGACUCGCCAGAAAACUGGGGCGUCUCAGGUGAACGGAGCAAGAAACGGUAACAAGCAUUGGGAGAACAGCUGUGAUUGAUCCAAGAGAAGCACCAAUCGUAGACGGCUAUCCCUAGGGCGGACCCUCCAUUAACCUGCACUUCAACUGCAUUGGUGAGGACCAGGCAGAGCAGGGCCUCCUCCAGUUUGGAGUCCCCGGAGAAUUCCGUACCAUCUCGCAUACAUCGGGCAACGGCCAUGGCCUUGCCGCCGUCUCGGAUUCUCGUCAGAGUCUCAUCACUUUCCGAGUUGUGGGAGGGUGAGAUGAGGUGGUGGAGGUUGGUGAGUAGGCCGCAGAUUCGAUGGAGCGGUUGGGUAUGGAGGGGAGGGAGGUGGAGGAUGUGGAGGAGGCGGAGGGCAGCACGGAGGUCGGAGGAGUGAGCGGUGGAGGGGUGGGAAUGGCGGAGGAGGAGGAAGAGGUGGUGCUCGGCGCUGGAGAAGUGGAGGGGGGAGUCGGAGGCGGAGCAUGGUGGAGAGCAGUAGCAGAGAAAGGAGGAACUAGGGUUGGUAUUGACGAGAACAGUGGGCGGUAGAGGUGAGAAACAGGCGGAGCAGUGAGAGCGAAGGUGAGAGUCGUGGAGAGAGGAGGCUAGGGGUGGGAGUGGAUGGGUCAGGUCUAACCCCAUUUCUGUGUCCUCUCUCAUUCUCAUCUCCAUUCUUUACCAUACGGAUUGCAGGCAUUCUCAAUUCUAGUUCUUAAUACUGCUGCUCCCUUCUCCCCCUUCCUAAACCAUCCAUUUAGGAAAGCAGAAAUAUAACCACAGUUUAUUUACUUAUUUAUGAUGUUUCUAAUACACAACACCUGCAAAAAUUAAUGACAAAAUCUGUCCCAAUGGAAGGUAGACAAGAGCACAGACAUCUGAGCACAUAUUUACCAGCCUUAUCAUAUCAACAAACAAUAGUUGAAAUGCCAUUCUUCCUGAGAGUUUGGCCCCUUGAUCAAGACUGCCAUGAAGCAAACCCAUAAUUCAUUAGAGGAGGAUACCAUGUUUACUCUCAUUGGCAGUGGGCGGACCUGGGAAUGAGUCAAGUGACAGAACUCUGAAAACUUGCCUUGAGGAAAUCCCUCAACAAAUCCAAACAUUACUGGGUUGCCUUCAUAAUAAUUAUAAAGAAAACAAAUUCUUCCCAUUGAAUUUCCAGGACAAGUGCAACAGCUGUGCCAAUUUCCAACAGCUUAAACAAUUGAGUAAUCAAAAUUGUUUGUCUCUACAUCAACUGAUGGAGUCCACCGGACCAUGAUCAAAUUUCAUCAUAUUUUACAGAUAAAAUACCAGUUAUUUAGAAAAGCAUGGAUUGUGAUCUUCCUGUGCAGUUUUCCUUCAUCACAUCCCGUAUGCGACUUCAGUUGCUUCAUUACAUCAGUUUCUGAUUUCUAACUUGAACAACUGUAUUAACACCCAAAAGGAAAAAAAGGAACUAAGGGACUAUUUAACAGUUAAGACUAGAAGGGUUUUAGAAUUGAACUGGAAAGGGUUCAAAUAGAGGAAGAAGGAAGAAACUCACCAAAAGAACUAUUGUUUCACUUUUAGUGUGGUCUCAAUGCGCUGGAUGAGCUGAUCUGCAGUCAAAGCACCUUCCUGGAAUUCAUCAGACAGGAAUAGUAACAAAGAAAUUAGAACAUAAAAAAUAAAUAAACUAGUGGCAAUAUAACAACCAAAAGAAAAAUACAAUCAAAAGUACAGUGAAAACCAAGAUAAACAAUUGACUAAGGUGCCACUGUACAACCAGAGGCCCAACCAUGCAUUGUAUAAAUGCGGAAGAAAAUUCUGUAGACAUCAUCUCCUAUGCCAAGGAGAAAACCUUCAUUGGCUAAUCCCAUGAAAAAGUAUAAUUCAAUAGAGUCAAAGUGUGUGAAAACCAAGCCAGUGCUACAAGCAGGAAGCCUAAGAACUGAGUCAUUGCCAGUGUAAGCUUUGCCUGUAAGUAAAGAAGGCAGUUAACAAUCAUGUUACAGGGGCUGCCCAUUCACAGGCACGUGCAAGAUGAAAAUCAUGUGGGCAAUUCAUGACAAUUUCCCAAAAAGGUUUUUUUGUACAAGUGCAUACUAGAUACGAAUUCCACUUACAAAGCGAUCAUAUGGCUUCCCAUCUUUAAAUAUGAUGAAAGUAGGCAAUGCCUCUAUUCUGUACUUAUCAGCAAUGCUCGGGUAUUUCUCAGUAUCAAUUUUCACCACCUGGAUCUUGUCUUUCAGAGAAGCACCGACUUCGUUGAGGAUAGGAACCAUGAACUGACAAGGGCCACACCUGGAAACCAGUACUUCGUUACUUCUAGUUUUAUUUAGUUCCCUCAAUAUCUCAUAGAAAUAGAGACUCCUUAGAACAGCACACCCUCAAGGAAACACUUUAAUGAGGGACUGCCCUACUGAGUAGCAUGUCUUAUUGAUGGAAUAUAAUUUGGCUUAAAAACUCACAUUUUGCUGCCAAGACAGCUAAUUCAGGUUAUCAUCUAGCUUACAACAAAAUAACAAACCAUCUCAUAUCAUUUUCCUUCUAUUUAAAGAGCAAAGAAACGGUGGCAAGUAUGGGAUUUAUUUUAUUUCAUUUUUUUUUUUUAAAAAAAAAAAACUCACCAAGUUGCAUAGAAGUCUACCAGAACAGGUUUUUCAGAAUUUGCUAGCAAUUCAUCCAAGGAAGAAAAUGUUUGCUUCUUUGCUUCAACCUAAAGAAAUCACAACAAUGUGGAAGUUACCCAUUAAUUUAUAGACACAUUCAGAAUUUGGUAGUCCAACCAUGCUUAUCUAAAUAUGCCAAUAUAACAGAGUCAAUUAGGAAAAUGUCCCAAACUCCUAAGAUAUAAUAUUAACAUAAAAUGUUUGUUCAGAAUGCAGAGAAACAAAAACCAAGAUACCUGUAAUCUGACAUUACAAAAAAAUGAGUCAAUUUACUCUGAGUCAAUUUAAAUUGGAAUUUAUGAACAUUCCAAUAUACUUUACUCUGGGUAACAGGCAGUUAGUAAGCAUGUCAAAUCAAAUAUUUAAGCACCAGUUAGAUAUCUAGAUUACAACUUUUCAUGACUCUUUAACUUUGAAAUCAUAGCUUCCAACUUGGAAGGUUAACAGGCAAAGCAGUGCACAAUUAUAUGGUCACUAUGACACCUUGUUUCUAGAUUAACUACUAGUCUAUCAGAUGACAAUUGAGUGCUCGUAUGCAGCGAACAAUGGUAUAGAGCUAAAUAGCAGAUGAAGUACAUUAGCUGGUUUACAUUGUCAAAUUGGAAACUAUGGGUAUGUUUGGAAUUUGCUUUCAAAAACAGUUUUAUGUUUUUAAGAACAAAAAUAAAAUAAAAUAAAGGAAAACAUGUUUGACAAUCAGGAAACAAGAUGUUUUAUGAGAAUAUAUUUUAAUUGUUUUCAGUCGUUUUCACUUAAUUUUAAAUAUGUUUUAAAGGAUAAUCCUACAAAUAUGGAGAAUGAUUGAAAAUAAAGCACUACAACAAAAGUUAUUUUAAAAAACAUAGAAAUUAGGUUGACAACAUUUCAAGUUCCAAUGAAAUGUUUUCAAACAGACUUCCAUUCUAGAAAACAUUAAAAAACAAUUUUCAAAAACCAUUUUUCAAAACUGUUUUUGAAAACACUUCCAAAUAGAGUCUAUAUAACUCUAUUAUUUCCUUUUAUUUUUCUCUAUUAAGAAAACCAUGUGUUGUCUGUCUCUCAUUUACAUGACCUAACAUUUCUCCUCAACUCAAGCGUUCACACCCUCAAUUAAGCAACCCAAACGCACUUAAUCCCAAAGGUUGUGUUUGUGUUUGGCCCUCGCAACCAACAAAUGCAACGACAUGAAAAUGCUGAAAUUAACUUCAUUCUCACUAACCAAUCUUAAUUUUUCCAGGAAUGACUAUCCUCUAAACAAACAUAUGCGCAAUCAACAAGAAAAACGCACGAGAAAAUAAAAGGCGAAUCCUUGCAUCUAGCACAAAAUGUCUCCACCAACUGAUCCAACACACCACAACACAUUCCCAAAGCAGAAUAUACAAACACCGUUCACAAGAAUUCGGAAAAUUCCAAUAAAAAAAAUCCACAACAUUCUGAAUUUUAAUAAUAAUAAUAAUAAUCAUAAAAAAGGCACCGAAGCAAAACAAAUUACCACAGGAAGGGUUCGAGGCCUAGACGGGGAUGAAAUUCCGUUGUUGCCGAUUCGAAUAGGGCGGAGCUGCCUAGGAAACUGCAAGGGGGACGAUGAGAAGAGCUUGGAAGAAGGGGAGGAAGAAGAAAAGGCUAAAGGAGUGGGGCGUUGAGAAUUCAACGCACGAACUGUAGAGAAAGUGAGCGAGGUGGCCAUUGGAGAGAAACCCUAGAACCAGAUGUUUUGGAUAAAAAUGGAACUGGACCAGAAAAAUCUGCUGGGAAGGGAGGAGAAAAAGAAGUGCGGAGACGAAGAGAACAAGAAGAGAGAUGUUAAGGUGCGGAGGUAUAGUAGAAUAAUAAAUAGGAGGACCAGAUCCGCGGGUGUGGGAGUUUCACAGCUAUGAUCCGACGGCCAGCAUACAUUAUCACACUUGGAGAUCCCAGCAGCCAGAUGCGUGUACUCUCCAUUUUUUUAUUUUAUUUUCACGUGAACCCCAAGGGAAAAUGACUACUCCAAUAAUUUACAUUUUCUUUUACCAAAAAGAUUAAAAAUCGGAUUCAGUAUCCAGAAAGGAUAAAAGAUUUUAAAUAAUUCAAUAUAAAACAUAAUGAGAAAAUCUUUAUAGAAUCAAUCCAACCACGUUCUAGUAAGAAACACCAGUGGGGGCAAGAAGUGGAACUACCGGUAAGCCAACAAGAUCCUCUUCAAAUUCAUGCUACAUUUUAUUAGACCAAUGUCUAAGGCCAAAAAUGAAGACUACAUGUGAGGAAAACGGUUGAGUCUAAAUCCUACAAACUUAAGUUUUUUUAAAAAUCGAUUAUUCAAUGGAAUGAAGAUGUAAAUAAUAAAACAAUGAGACCGGACAUGGUAUAAAACAAUAGGAUCUAAAUGCAUGUAUGAUACGACCUGAUUGAUCAUGCUUUUUGAUAUCGAUUUGGUAAUGUAAGGGGACCUUUUUUAACAUUACGUGAGUUUGGUAAAGGAGGCUGACUUUAUGGGCUGGAUGAACACGUAUGACUGGAGAUGAGAGGAGCAGCAAUACAAUGUUGAUCAUCACUUUACGUAGGCUCCUGCAUGCCACAAUGUUGAUCGUCACUUUCCAGAACACUAAAACCAUUUCAGGGUUCAGAGAAAAUUCGUAAGAGUCCGCACUCAAAACAGCUCUCUUAACAAUAAACUUGAAACAUCAAAUAAUGUUAAAUUACAACGUGGAAGGUUGAUGUCGUGGCAGUAAGUUAUGGCCAAACCUCAUCCAUCACUAGUCAAUGUGAGUGCCAGAAAAACUACUGUAAGUGCAGAGAAUAUGGUUGCACAGGCAAAUACCCACAUCGCCCUGCUCCUCACCCUGCCACUACUAUGGCUUGCCGGGCUGCCCAUCUCGACCUCUUUUAGAAGCUCCCUCACCUCAUCCAUAUUUGAGUCUUUUGCAGCUUGGGUUAGUCUACCAUGAAUUUUAUCAAGCCUACUCAGCCUUUUACUUCGGGAUGCAUCCUUGGCUGACCAGAUAAAACCCGUCAUCUUCCACAGAAGAAUGCCCACAUAGAUGGCCACAACACAGUCCACAGUGUAAUGGUGGCGUUCCCGUAUUUCCCUUUGGGCACUGUGCAAUACAAACAGCCAUAUGACAGCCGAGCUGAAACCUCCAUAAGCUUCCUGCAAACAUUUUUUUUGACACAGAGAAAGACACAAAAUUUAGUAUUAUGCAUUUUAAGCCUCAGUGCUACUGAUCAAUAAAUGUCAAGAGGAGGGAUUGCAAGUGUUUAAUAAAUAUACCGUCCAAGCCAUAGCAGUCAGUACUGCUACAAGAAUGUGGCCACUGUAUAUGAGGUCAUUGCAUCCUCCUCCAGCUUUCUUUAGCAGAUUGUACCAUGACCCGUCAGUAGUAGUUGGUCGCAGGAAGUCUAUAAGGAAGCUCAUUGAACCCCAAUCAGGACGAAAGUCACCAAGGUAAUUUCCAACAUCAGCUGAGAAAGAGGAAGAGAAUUAUUAAACCCACCUCCCUGUAAAACAGGAACCCAUCUGUAGUAGUUCUUAGGGUAGAUCUAAUAAUGGAGAACAUAGAACUCAUGAAGGUUACAGAAUUUAACCCUUUUUCCAACAUUGAAAACUAAAGAAAACUCUCUCAGGGCUUCUGUACAUGUCAACAAUGAAUUUAGAUUUCCAGGAGAUUGGAUGUUGAUUGAAUUGAAGAUUCACUAAAAUCUUGUAAGCACCUUAGUUAUUCCAAACCCAAUAGGCAAGUAGAAGAUGCGAACCUAAGAAUUAAUAGGACUUAUAAAGAAAUUUCAUAGAGAAAAUUGAGAUGAAACAGUGAAUCUGGACAAUAUGAUUUUUGCCAUGGGUACUCUAGCAGUAAUCAAGCGAAUAUAGAGCUUAAAAUCCCUUUUUCUCGCCUCAAGGCUCCACUACAAAACCCCUUCAAAUGCAUUAAACCCAUAAAAUGAGAGGAAAUUAGUUGGGUACAAAACACAUACCAUAGGCUAUAUCACGUUCUAUUACUUGACGAAUAGCAGCUGGAUCCGAAGCAUAAGGGACAUAAUAUUUUUGAGCCCAAUGAUGUGGGUGUGCAGGAACUCUGAAGCGGGCAAAAGCACACCAAGGCCGGGCCGAUGGCAGAAUUGUAGAUACAAAAGUUAUGGCCCGAAGAAAUCGCCCUAUUGCCAUGGUGAACAUGUACCUAGCACCUAGCCCAAGGCCAGGAGCUUUUACAGAGUCGAAUAAUACUGAGAAAGCCAGCAUCAUGAACAGCAUCAAAAAAUGGUGCAAUCCAAUAAUAUGCGCUCUAAGUAUCUCAACCACCGUAGGAGGAAGUUUCUCAUUCAACGCCAGGAGAAACCACUGGCCAGUGUCAGGAAGGGGAGGAGUAUCACUGCCAGACAUGAAUAAGCCAAUUGAUUGUCUCAUUGCUCAACAUACAGUAAACACAAAGUUGAACUAGUGUUGAAAGAUUAUGAUAUUAUCUUGGUAGAAAUAUUCCUGAAAAUGGACUCAGCUGUUGAUAAAUAUCCAUGAAGCAUUCUGGAGGAUCAGAUCCACUAACAGAAACUAUCACGUCUAAUAGAUGUUUUCUGAUCCAGUUGCAAUGAGUUGAUAGCAUUUUCAGGUUAUAUCAAAUGAUUCUUUAAAGAAGAAAUUGCAGCAUCUGCAAUAAUUAAAUCUCUGUCUCUCUAUAGGGAUUUUCAGAUUCAGCUUGAAUAAUGAUCCUGAAAAAGAGGAAUCAUUGCAUCUGUAUGUAUUUAAAUCUCUCAGUCUCCUGAGAUGUUUUCAUAUCUAGUUCAAAUGACGCGUGACUUUAUUUUCAUGUUAUAUCAAAUAAUACUUUAAAAAAGGACCUUUUUUAUGGGCAAAAAGUGAUAUUAUCAACAGCGCAUAAUCAGAAGAGGGCACACCAAAGCUUCAAAAAAGGACUUGUUGCAUCCUAUGUAUUUAAAUCUCUCUUUCUGUGAGUGCGUGCAUCAACAUAUAAAGCAUUACCUAUGUUAAGGAAUCAACAUGAUACGAAUAAAAGUGUCCUUGUUAGGGAUGUUUGAAUAUAAUAACACUUAUGUACAUACAGCACAGUUAUAAAUUCUCUCCUUCUCUCUCUGUGUGUAUGUGAAAAUUUUCAAUCUUACCUACAUGCAACCUGACACCAAUACAAGUAUCCUCAUUGCUGAGUGGUUUGCAUAUGAUAAGAACAUUUAUGUGUGUGUAUAUAGUUAAGGGUUGGGCCCCAAUUUUAAUGAUGAUUUUUAGCAAGAAGACUUGAAAAUCAAUUUGAAACCCUUAGUUAGUGUAAUCGGUAGUCUUUUUGCAUAUAAGCAAAGUGAGGGCAUACUAUAUAAGAAUGAAAGACCUUACUUUAACUUAGGAGACCACAUUGAACCUUAAUUUUUACAUGAAAAUCUCUAAAGGUUUUCUAAAAAGUUUAGUGACUUAACUGACAUUUUUCUGUACUUGAAAAAUACUCAAAAGCAUUGGUUAAAAUAUUUUAACAGUUUUCUAAUGUCUUAAAGUCCCUUAAAGGAUGGUUAAAGCCCUCGAUAAGAGUUAUCGGAGCAUCAAAAUGCAAUGGGGUAUGUAUGUGGUCAUCUAGGCGAUCGUCCAUAUGUGCUUUUUACCAUGCUGAUGUCCGGUUCUAGGGGACUUUUGUGUUUAAUAGGUAGUUUGAUUUCAAAAAGGAAUAAAUGCAUUGCCUUAGACACAUAUAACAUAGGCCUAACAAAUGCAAAUCAUUACUAUUCCAUUGAAACCUUUCUUUAAGACAUUCAAGUAUGCUUUAAACUUAUACUUGCUAACCCUCAUUUAAGAUGCUUAAACUUGAACAUUAAAUUACCUAUCUACUCUUUGUUAGAGUGUUCAUUGUAUUUUUUCUUUCAAUUGCAAUUUAGUGAGAUUGUAAGAAAUGUGUAUGAAUAACAUCUUGAAGUUAUAAAGAACCUGAUGGCCUCCUAUACGUAAUGUGUAUACUAGAAAGGGGAAGAGGAGUGUACUGCCACCUGGCAGCUAGUUGUAAUAGUCUUAGUACAGGUUGGAAGGAGUGUACUGCCAGGUGCAAUUAGCCAUAACGGUCUUAGUACAGGCUGGAAUAACUUUAGGAAAAAGAUGGAAUUUGUGGAGCAGCUGGCUGUUGUGUGAGUCUGGUGGGAGAGUGAUAGCCUCUCGAAUAGCCAUCUUUGUAUCUGUUUGGCCCUUUUCUUGAAAUUUUGGAAAUUCAAUAAUAUUGCUAGUAAUUUUUUCUUCAUUAGAUACCUAUCAAUUUGGUAUCAGAGCAUUGAUCCAGAUGACUCAGAAGAAGAAUGAUGGCCGGGUGGAUUCUCUGGAGAAGGAAGUUGGAGAAAUCAAAGAGGAGAUGCAGCGCCUACUGGGAAUGGAAAAGACCGUGAUGGACCUUGCCUAGAACAUGAUGUGAGUUCUGCAGUUGCUGAAAUUGACACAGAAGGCAGUGGGGGUGUUGUCAUCAGGGCGGGUCACGACGAUUCCUCAUUGUGAGGGAGGCAGGGUGGAUCGAUGCAUGGGAGUAUGAUUGCUACUCAAUGAGAAGACCAUGCGGAAUGGAUCCCUGGAGUUGGGGAAACCAAUGGGGGGUUGGAUAGUGAUGGAUGAGAUGAGGCGAGGCAGAAACGGGGAAUGGCAUGGAGAUGGCACUUGGAGAUGCCUGUGUUUAUGGGAGACAACCCGAACGACUCGAUCUUUCGAGGUAAUCAAUACUUCAUAAUGAAUGGACUCACGAAAGAGGAGAAAUUAGUUGCCCCUACGAUGAGUCUUGAUGGGGACACACUUUCUUGGUACCAGUGGAUUGAUUCGAGAGAGGCAUUUGGGAGCUGGGAAAAUUUGAAGAGGCGACUGCUGCUCCGCUUUCGUCUGACUCAAGAAGGGAGCCUUUGUGAGCAGUUUCUUGCAGUGCGUCAGGAAGGGAUAGUGGCGGCUUACUAGCAGGAGUUUGAGAUUCUAGUUGCUCCCUUGAAGGGGAUUUCUGAGGAGGUAAUAGAAAGCACAUUUGUGAGCGGACUGCUUCUUGAGAUUUGGGUUGAGAUACAUUUUCUGCAACCAUGUGGGCUAGGCCACUUGAUGGAAAUGGCUCAACAGGUCGAAGACAGAAAUUUAAUCUUGUGGGCGGCCCAUGAACCAAGGGACCCAAAGAACACCAAAAUAUUGUCGUUCGCAAAUCGGGGGGAUUGGAAGACUAGGGAAACUUUUCAAACUAGGGCAAUGACUACUAGUGAUGUGAGAUUCUGAGUCUCUGACAAAGAGAUUGACGGAGUAUGAGCUCCAAGCCCGUAGAGAGAAGGGACUUUGUUUUUAGUGUGAUGAGAAGUUCUCACUUGGCCAUCGUUGUAAGAAGGAAUUAAGGGUUUUGCUGGUGCACGAAGAUGAGGAGGAGGAUAAUCAGUUUGAUGGUGAAGCAACUGUGGAACCUCCACUGAUUGAGCUGAAAGAUGUUGUGAAGUUAUCUCUAAAUUCUGUGGUCAGUUUAACAACAUCGGGGACUAUGAAAAUCAAGGGGACGAUCAAGCUGAAUGAGGUAAUCAAUCUUGUGGACGGUGGGGCUACCCACAAUUUUUACCCCUUGAUUUAGUUCAAUGAUUAGCACUUCCAUUAACUACAACAACCAAUUACGAGGUGGUGAUGGGAAUUGGGAUAUCCGUGAAAGAGAAGGGCAUUUGUAGGGGAGUUUGUAUUUCGAUGCAGGGGCUCACUGUAGUGUAAGAUUUUCUUCCACUUGAAUUAGGCAACACUGAUGUAAUUUUGGGAAUGCCUUGGUUGGGGACUUUAGGAUACAUGGAGGUAAAUUGGAAGAUGCUAAUGAUGAAGAUCAAAAUGGGGAAGUGGUGAUAUUGUUAAAGGGAGACCCAAGCCUCAGUAAGACCAAGGUGUCUCUUAAGGCAAUGGCUAGAGCAUUGCAGCACCGUGGCUAGAGGGUGUGGGUGGAACUCUAUCAAAUUUCCACCGAUUCAAGUUCAAGUGAAGGAGUAUAGGAGGUCCCAAAAGCAGUCAAAGAAGGACUAGCUCAACAUCAACAAGUCUUUGGGCAAAUGACGGAGUUACCACCGAAUCGUAAUAUUGACCAUGCCAUCCGAUUGAUUUUGAGAGCGCCACCAGUUAAUGUUCGUACCUAUCGAUACCCACAUAUUCUAAAGAAUAAAAUAGAGAGAUUGGUACAAGACAUGAUUGAGGCAGGAAUUAUUUGGCCUAGCUUAAGUCCAUUUUCUAGUCCAAUGUUGCUGGUUAAAAAAAAAAAGAUGGAGGAUGGAGGUUUUGCAUAGAUUAUUGUGCACUCAACAAAGUUACAAUUCUGGAUCGGUUCCUUAUUCCAGUAAUCAAUGAGUUACUUGACGAACUUCAUGGCAUAACCAUUUUUUCCAAGCUAUACCUCAAAUAUGAUUACCACCAUAUUUGAGUUCGAUAACAAGAUAUCCAUAAAACAGCGUUCCGCAUCCAUGAAGGUCACUACGAGUUCUUGGUGAUGCUUUUUGGGCUAACCAAUGCAUUGACGACCUUCCAAUCGUUAAUGAACCGUAUAUUUCGACUACAUCUUUGGAAAUUCGUGCUUGUAUUUUUUUAUGACGUACUAAUUUAUAGCAAGGACUUGAAGGAGCAUUGUGAUCACUUGCAAAGGGUGUUGUUCAUUCUGGCUAACCACUAGUUGCACGCCAAUGAGAAGAAGUGUCUCUUUGCUAAACCGCAGCUAGAAUACUUGGGUCGUUUGGUUUCUACUGAGGGGGUUGCUGUUGACCCCAACAAGUUUCAACCAUGAUAGAGUGACCCACACCCAAAUCCCUCAAAGAAUUGCGAGGGUUUCUUGAAUUGACCAGGUACUACCGUCAAUUUGUCAAGGGAUAUGGAGAUAUUUCUUGGCCCCUCAGUUAGCAACUCAAAAAGGAUGCUUUUAAUUGGAACCCAGAGGUUGAGAUUGCCUUCCAAAAGUUGAAAACAGUUAUGACAACAGUUCCUAUUUAGGCCUUGCCCGAUUUCACUCAGCUCUUCAUUGUGGAGACGGAUGUCUCGAGGUAUGGUUUAGGCGCUAUUUUGAUGUAAGGUCAAUGACCGAUGGCUUAUUUUAGCCAAGUCCUCUCGGUAAGGGUGUGACAAAAGUCCAUAUAUGAAAGGGAGUUAAUGACUAUUGUCUUAGCAGUUUAGAAGUGGCGUCACUACUUGCUUGGUCACCACUUUAUUGUGCGAACGGACCAAAGUAGUUUGAAGUUUUUGUAGAGCAAAGGGUGGUGAAUGAGUCGUACCAAAAGUGGGUCACAAAGUUGUUCGAGUACAAUUUUGAAAUUCAGUUUCGGCCUAGAUUGGAGAAUAAGGCAGCUGACGCCCUAUCUCGCAUCCCCAUAUCUAUUGAGUUAGGUACCCUCAUGGUUCCCAAUCGCUUGGACACUUCGGUGGUUUAUUCACAGGUUGAAGCUAACCCUCACCUUGCUAAGAUUUGACUAGGGUUGUUGGUUAAUCUAGAUGCUUAUCCUUGAUAUUCUUUGGACCAUGGCCUUCUUGUCUACAAGGGGUGCCUAGUUCUUCCCAAGGCCUCACCCCUUAUUUUGACACUUCUUCAAGAGGGCAUGCUAGCGUGGUUGGAGGUCAUUCUGGGUUCUUGCGGACUUACAAAUGGCUCACAUGGGACUUUUUUUGGGUUGGCAUGAAGAAUGACAUCAAAGGGUUUGUGGAAAAGUGUUCAAUGUGUCAACAAAAUAAAGUCUUUACUUUGUCACUGGUUGGGUUAAUAAAAACCAUUGCCUACUCCAGAAAAAAUAUGGGUUGAUGUGAUGAUGGACUUUAUUGAGGGGCUCCCUAAGUCAAAGGGUUAUGAUUCCAUCUUAGUUAUUGUUAGAUUGAGCAAUUAUGCUCACUUCUCCUUGCUUAAGCAUCCUUUCACAGCCUAAAUGGUGGUUGCUGUUUUUGUUUGUGAUAUUGUCAAAUUGCAUGGAAUUCCCUAUUCCAUUAUUCCGAUCAUGACAAAGUAUUUCCUAGUCGAUUUUGGAUGGACCUAUUCCGAUUGCAAGGUACCUCCUCUGUCGUGGUACUGCUUACAUCCUCAAAUAGAUGGAUAAACGGAGGUGGUCAACUGUUGUGUGAAGGCAUACCUUUGAUGCUUUUCAUAUGACAAGCCUCGAUGUUAGUCUACAUGGCUUCCGUGGGCGGAGUACUAGUAUCAUAACAUGUUCCACGCAUCCACUAAUAUGACAUUGUUUUGAGCGAUUUAUGAGUAGGAAGCCCCAUCAUUGCUACGUUAUGGAUCAGAUUCUACAUUUGUUUUGCCAGUGGAUCAGUUGCAGUAAGAGCAUGAUCGAAUUUUAAAUGAACUGAAGGACCAUCUCAGUUGUGCCCAGUCCAAAAUGAAGUCAUCUGCAAUGUCCAUCGUCGUGCAAUGCAAUUUGAAGUUGGGGAUUUUGUCUAUCUCAAUCUUCGUCAUUACCGUCUUCGUUCCCUUGCAAGGCGACCCAAUGAAAAGCUCUCUCCAUGGUAUUUUAGCCCUUACAAGGUGGUGCAGCAAAUUGGUCUAGUGGUGUACAAGUUAGAGCUCCCUUCUUCCACAACUAUUCAUCCAGUGUUUCAUGUUUCACAGCUCAAGUGGGCUCUUGGUUCAGCUGAUUUAUGUCAGCCACUUUCCCCUAGUCUUGUUGAUGAUUUCGAGUGGCUUGUGGAGCUUGAUCAAGUCUUAGGUGUUCGACAGUCUCCCAAUAUCAAUCCUCCUAUUAGUGAAGUACUUAUCCAAUGGAAAGGACUUCCGCAGUUUGAGGCUUCAUGGGAAUCACUCGACAUGAUUAAGGAGCACUUUCUUGGCUUCCACCUUAAGGACAAGAUGUCUUGCAUUGGGGGGAGGGGGAGGGGGGUUGUCGAUGAUAGGCUUCCUAUACGUUAUGUGUAUCCUAGAAAGGGGAAGAGGAGUGUAUUGCCACCCAUGGUUUGAAAUAUUGGUAAACAGGGAUAUAUCAGCACUUGAAUUUUACAGAUAUAUCGGAAAUAUCAGAGAAAUAUCAAUGGAUAUUUUGACAAAAAUAUUGGUAAGGGGAAAAUUAUUCAAAAAUCAUGGAAAUAUUUGGAAAAACUCCAAAAAAUGAUAAAAUAAAUAAAAUAUACAUGUUAAAAUUAUUUCCUAAGUGUAAUUGACAUACAUAUGGUUAAAGAGAAAAAUAUCAAUAAGUAAAGAUAAAUCAAUAUUAAUAAUUUAUUAUUUAUUAUUUAUCUAAUCAAAUUAAUUUUAAUUUAUAAAAAAUUAAAACUUCAUUAUUAUUAUUAUUAUUAUUAUUAUUAUUUUAGUAUUUUUUGAAAAAAUUUAUAUUUUUAAUAUUUUAAAAUAAAAGCAUUCAAAAUUAAAUAAAAUUAAAAUGAUAAAUAUAAAAAAUUUAAAAGUGAAUUGAUAAUAAUUUUUUAAAAUAGGAUUAAUGAGAUAAAUGAUGAUACAUUUAAUAUUAAAACUAUAAUUUAUUUAAUUCAAAUGCAUUCAAUAAUGUAAAAUAAAUGAUGAUGCAUAUAUGAUUUUUUAAUAUUUAUAUUUUUUAUAUUUAAUUAUCACAUAAACGAUAUUAAAAAAUAUUUGUUGAAAAAAUUAUAAUGAUGGAUUUUAUACAUUUAUUAAUUAAUUAAAUAAAAUUUAAAGUAAAAUAAUUAUAAUUAAUUAAUUAAUUUUUUAAUAAUAAACUUUAACAAAUUUAUUAUCAACAUAUAUUAUUAAGUGUGAACUUGGCCCAGUGGUAAUUAGGCUUAAACCCAAGCUUUUUGGCUUGAGUUCGAAUCCCCUAAGCCGCAGCAGCAACGUAAACAUUUCAAAAAAGUUUUGACCACCAAAAAUAUUGAGAAAUAUCCUGAUAAAUCAGAAAAAACAUUUCACCGCAAAAAUUGACGAAAAGUCGGCCGAUCGAUUAUCGAUGAAGAAUAUUAUGUCAGUCAGCUCCGAUAACUGAAAUAUUUUUGCCAAAAAAAUCCAACAUUUCAAACCAUUCUGCCACCUAACAGUUAGUUGUAACAGUCUUGUAUCUGUUUGACCCUUUUCUUGAAAUUCUGGAAAUUCAAUAAUAUUGCUAGUAAUUUUUUCUUCAAUAGAUACCUAUCAGAACCAUCUAGAACCUAGGGAAUCUAAAUGUAAAUAAGAUUUAAAAGAGUCUUUGUUGAGAAGAUUCUUGGUUUGGUCGAACACUUUAAGGCUUGUGAAGGAGCUCAAAGACGUAGACAUAGGGGUGUUACUAAACCACAAUAAAAUCACAAUGUUUGUAAUCUUUCUUCUCUUAAUUCUCUUUAAUUUCAGUACUUUACUUUUAUUAUUUGCAUCAUAUAUUGUUUGUAUUUAAAUUUGGAUAAAAAGUUCAAAAAGAGACCACCCAAUUCACCCCACCAAUCCCCACUCUCCUGGGUGAUUACCUACAUUUGCUUAGCAAGACUACUUAAAUAUACACAACUGUGAUGGCAAAUCAAGACUAGCAUUGUUGUUGGUCAUAAGAAUUAAAUUGCCAUUCUAAGUAGAUACAUUAUAACAGCUCUGGACAGUCUAUAUGUCUAAUUAUUAGAAAUCACAACUAGCCCUAUAGUUCCAAUAAACUGAACAUAUAUUUGAAAAAAAAAAUCUGGAAAUUCACAAAAAGUUCCAUUAUCUCUCUCCAUCUAUUUGGAAUUGAUAUCACCAGCCAAGGUCAAUGAUUCCAAUUCAUAUACAGUCAGAACGCCCAGAGUAGAGUGUGAUUCCAAUAUUUUCUCCUUACCAGGUAAACUUUUCAGGCAUCCCCAUAAUUUUAGAGAAAUAUAAUUGGUUUUGUCCAAAAAACCUAUUCUUGUUUACUCUAUUUAUCCUAAAUUACUUCAUUUGAUCUCAAAUAUAAUUUGGUUUUUCCUUAAGCUUUUCAUUGAUGCUCAAUGCUCACUCCACACACUUAAUUUCUUAAAUUGCUAAUGUUAUCCUCAGUGGCCAUACAAUAUUCUUUCUUUUUUUUUUUCUUUUUUUUAGACAGAUAAAACCAAUUGCAUUAAAAAUAAAAAUGCCACAAGGACACAUCAAUGUACAUAGGAUGUAUACAAAUAGCACCUAACAGCACAAAAACAUGAAAAGAACCCAAGCAACAACCCCCACCCUUAACCAGAACCCAACCACUCAAUGAAAUAAAGUAAAGACUAAGAAUCUAUCUCUAUGUACUUCUUUACCUAAGUGAACAAAUUCCUAAGAAAGAACAUCUUCAAAAACUAAGCAAAAUGCUCCUCAUUAUCAUACAACCUGAGAUUUCUUAUUACACCAUACAAGAUUCUUAUUACACCAUAAAGGCCCCUAUAUUUGACAGAUAUGCCUGGUUAAGUAGAAGAUUAUGCAUGGAAAACCUAUUCUAAUUCUAUGAUAAAUGUCCUACUUCAUGCCAUCUUCCUUUUGAAUAAUUGGAAUGAAAUGGCCUGUUCGGGAUAUCUACUAAUCAAUGAUUUUUUAAUUUACCAAAAUUUCUCUUCAAGUCAACCUCCAACACUGAGAAGUUCAUUUCUACAAAUUUCUUUGCUAUGUUGCUCCCCUGGUUCCAAGCCAAGAAAAACCACUAAAAUCAAGAUCCCCAACAAACAACCAUCAGUUGAGGUUCAUACACACAGAUACUGGGAAAUGGGACAUAGGCCUUCAAUCCUAUAUUCAAUUAUGACUAUCUUUUGCUAAAUGCCGAUUAAACCAUACUGGAUUCCCUGCCUAAUUGAUAAAAAUAUUGUCAAAAAAAUGCAUAUACAUGAGUUACAGUGUUGAAGGGGAAUAACAACAUAUGGAUUUUAUCACUUCUAUGUAAAACAUUUCGAAUAUUACACUAGAAGAACUUAGAAGUUAUCCAGCAAGCAUACAUUUCACUAAAGAAAGCAUACGCUGUGAACAUGAUUGAUUAGUUCACCAACUUCAACACUUCAUAUCAGCCAUAUCUCCUUGGCCAAAUCAAGGAUGGAACAAGACUCCACAAAAUGUUCUGAAACAUGUGUGCAUAUGGAUAGUUCAAAUAAGCUAUAAAAUUACUUGCACAAAUUUUCCAGCAAAAAAAAUGCAAAAAAUAUUCAAUUGAAGACUUUAUUUUAAUUGCAACUAAUCAUAAUGAAUACCAAAUGCAUAUUGUGAAAGUCUCAAGUGCAGAGUUUGAUACACUGUUCUGCAAGCUUACUGUUAGGCCUUUGGUUCACCAACUACAAAUGGAAGGUUGAAACAAUCAAACCUUGGGCAGCUGGACCACCCUGAAACCUACACAUAUUUUUUUUGAUAAGUCCCUGGAGUCUAGACUAAUUUCGAUUAGUUCUUGCUGCUACAUGCCUAUUUGAUGGGAGGCAGUUUUUUUUUGGGUGAUUAUUAACCAACAUUUUGAUUAAUUAACACUAAAGCUAAACCUCUUUUGAGUUACAAUUAAUCAACAUUUGGAUCCAAGAAAAUUUUAAAGUCAAAGUCAUCAAUAAGGAGCAAACCCUAAAUCUGCUUUGAGUUACAAUGAAUCAACAUUUAGAUCAAAGAGCAUUUUAAAGUCAGACUCAUCACUUAGGGAACAAACCCUAAAUCUGGCAUUUUGAUUCCAGCCACUUUCCAAAUUUAUAUGAAUCAGAAAAACCCGCAAAAUAACACACCGAUUAGUCAACAAUUGAACAAGAAAUCAAAUCUAAAACCUUAGUCAUGUCUUUCAACAAAAUACCUCAAAAUGAAGACAAAUCGAACUCCAUACACAAAGAAAUUAAAGCAAACGCAACGCAAAUCAAACACGACCCACAUAAGAUUAACCCAAAAUGAGAACGUAACACUCAAUACACUUCAAUUUUCAUUUGAUUCGCCAUCUGGCUCCCCCCAUUUUCCAUCCAAAAACCCAUAACCCCAGGGUCCCCAACCAACAGAAAAUGCAACACAACAGUCCAAUUACCUGUGCCAAUCGAGACCGAGAACGGCGGUCACGGAGCGAACAGAGAGAACUUCAAAGAGACAGGUGGAGAGCAUGAAGAUCAUCGAAGCAACAAAGGGCAAAACAGAACGGAACUCCAUGGACCAGUGCUUGUAGAAGGGGACGCGAGCGACGGCUACUAGAGCGAGCACUGACCAGAGAGCAGGCAUUAGCCAGGAGUGCCAUGCCGGAGCCAGGUACCGGAGGUAAUCAACAGCCACGUAGGCUAUGGCGGCCACACCUAGUCCCCCGGCCCUCGCCCUCGCAGUCACCGGAGGUCGCCACUUCAUAGCUGUGGAGAAGAGAGGGAGCAGUGAUCCAAGCAAAAUUAUUUUUCAAAACAUCGUUCCAUUAAUAUUCGUUAAAGAGAAUAGUAACGGAAGCUAUCUGGAAAGCCGGGUUCACAUUCCCAGAAACAUGCAUCCAAAAUAAGAAAGAAAUUUUUUACUUUCUCUAAUUCUUUUUAUCUUUCAUUCUCUCAAUUUUCUCAAUUCUUUUUUAUGAUUUUUUUCCCUAUAAAUAUUAUUAUUAAAAUAAUAUAUAAUUUAUUUCUAUUACUUUAUUUGCAUUGCAUUUAUUCUUGUUUCACAACGAUUUAUCAACACAAAUUGCUUUGAAGGUAAUUAUCAUAUCUUAAACUUGAAGUUAUUUAUAUAGAAUAAAAUUUUACAUAUUUAUAUUAUUGUUGAUUUGUUUUGUCAUAUAUUGUUAAAAGUUAUAAACAAAUUAUUUAACUUUGUUUAUAAUCAAAGUUAUACCAAUGCUAUCAAUUUAUUAUAACUGAUUCAAAUAAUAUUGUUUUGUCAUAUAUAUAUGAAGUUAUUUGACAAUAUCGAAUCUCACAAAACUCGAAUUUGUAGCACUUGAUAUUUCAGGAAAGAACUAUCUAUCUUGGAUCUUGAUGCUGAAAUACAUCUUGAUGUAAUGAAUUUUGGAGCUAUGAUCAAAGAAAGAAAUAAAGCAUCCUUGGAGGAUCGUGUAAAAACAUUGAUUUUCCUUUGUCAUAAUCUCCAUGAAGGUUUAAAAAAUAUAAAAAUAAAUAAUGAGCUUUUGAUGAUAAAUCACCAGUCUCGUCUAACUAGAUUUGAACCAUUCCUUGAAAUGAAUACUUCCUUGAAAUGAAUACAAUAUCGUCAUAAACUCGUGGACGAGGACGUGGUCGUGGUUGUGGAAGAAAUCUCCGAUACCAUGGUUCUUAUAGUAAUAAUUCAUCAAAUUCUCAAAAAAUGAAAGCCUCAUUGCACCAUCAGAAGUGGAACAAUAUUGAGGUAUAACAAAAAAAUGGGAAGUGUUUAUAAGAUAAAUCUCCUAAAAACCAUAAGAAUAAUUGUUAUAGAUAUGGCAUGAAGGGACAUUAGUCGCGUACAUGUCGUACGCCCAAACGUUUGGUUGACCUUUACCAAGCAUUAAUAAAAGCAAAAGGAAAAGAGAUAGAGAUGAACUUUAUCGAUAAUAAUGGAUUGGACCUAACCUACUAUGACAUAGAUUUCUUUGGAGGUCCCAGUAAAAAACAGACCAUUUAAUAAAUGAUGAGAAGAUUAACAUUGAUUGAUGUUAAUUUAUAUAUCAAAUAAUAUAGUAUUAUGUUUUAUAUUUACAUCUGAUUUUUUUUUUUUUGUUAUUUACAUUAUGCCUUGUUUUUUUAGUUAUAUCUGAAAUCCAUGUGUUAUUUGGUCUCAAGAUGAAUGAGGAUGAUGUAUGUCUCACAGACUAUGCAACCACGCACACAAUUCUUUGAGAUAAAAGAUAUUUUUUCGAAUUGACAUUAAUAAAAGCUAAUGUAAGUACCAUAUUUAGUACUACAAACUUAGUUGAAGGCUCUAGAAGAGCAAACAUAACACUACCAAAUGGAACUAGAUUCCAUAUAAAUGACACUUUAUAUUCUAGCAAAUCUAGAAUAAAUUUGCUCAAUUUUAAAGAUAUCCGCAGAAAUGGAUAUCAUAUUGAAACUAUGAAUGAAGAUAAUGUAGAAUAUCUUUACAUUACUUCUAUUAUAUAUGGCAAGAAGCUUAUAAUGGAAAAACUCACGAAUUUCUUUUCUAGGUUGUAUCAUACAACUAUAAAGCCUAUUGAAUCAUAUGUUGUCGUGAACCAGAAGUUCAACAACCCAAAAGUUUUUUUCCUUUGGCAUGACAGACUAGGUCACCCGAGGUCUUCAAUGAUGUGUCGAAUAAUCAAACACUCACAUGGGCAUCCACUAAGGAACCAGAAGAUUCUUUUGCCCAAUGAAUACUCAUGUGCUGCCUGCUCACAAGGUAAAUUGAUAGUCAGACCAUCUUUUACUAAAGUCAUAUAUGAGUCACUAGUCUUUUUAGAAAGAAUACAUGGAGACAUAUGUGGGCCUAUUCAUCCACCAUGUGGACUAUUCCAUUAUUUUAUGAUCUUAAUAGAUGCUUCUACUAGGUGGUCACAUGUUUGUCUCUUUUCUACACGUAAGGUUGCCUUUUCUAGACUCCUUGCACAAAUAAUCAGAUUACGAGUACAAUUUCCAGAUUAUCCAAUUAAGACAAUACAUCUUGAUAAUGCUGGUGAAUUUACUUCUCAAACAUUCAUUGACUAUUGCAUAUUAGUAUGGAUAAAUAUUGAGCAUCCUGUUGCUCAUACUCAUACCCAAAAUGGUUUAGCAGAAUCCUUCAUCAAACAUCUCCAAUUAAUAGCUCGACCAUUACUAAUGAAAACUAAACUACCUACUUCUGCCUAGGGACAUGCUAUUAUGCAUGGUGCAACUUUAGUUCGUAUUCGACUUACAACUUACUAUGAAUACUCUCCUUCACAACUUGUGCUUGGAAAACAACCAAACAUCUCUCACUUGCGAAUCUUUGGUUGUGCAGUAUACGUACCAAUUGCACCUACACAACGCACCAAAAUCGGUCUCCAAUGAAGACUUGGGAUUUAUGUAGGUUUUGAUUCUCUAUCUAUCAUAAGAUAUCUUGAGCCUUUGACAGACGAUGUUUUUACAGCCUGCUUUGCGGAUUGUCAUUUUAAUGAUAGUGUUUUCCCAUCAUUAGGGGGAGAAAAGUCGAUUCCUGAAGAACAACGAGAAAUUAGUUGGAAGACAUCUACUACUAUGACUCAUCUUGAUCUUCGUACAAAUCAAUGUGAACUAGAAGUUCAAAGGAUCAUUCAUUUGAAAAGUCUUGCAAAUCAAUUACCAGACGCAUUCAUUGAUACAAAGAAAGUGACAAAGUCUUAUAUUCUGACUGCAAAUACUCCAACACAGAUUGAUGUCCUUGUAGAACAGUUAACAAAUGAAUCUAAGAUAUGCUUGAAGCGUGGUAGACCUAUUGGCUCAAAGGAUGUAACUUCCCGAAAGAGGAGAACCCAAGAAAAACUUGGCACUAUAAAAUAGGCCAUCAAAAUGACUGAUCAAUUUAAAAUUGAUAAAUCUAUAGCCCCUGAAGAGGCACAUAUUGAACAAGAAGCCCUUGAAGAGGCACAUGUACCUGAAAAUUGUGAGAUCUCAGUAAGUUAUGUACACACGGGAAAAAAAUGGGAUCAAAAUAAUAUUGUUAUUGAGAAAAUAAAGGUUAUGCUUAAAUAAGAAAAACACCCAAAAGGGGAGUGAAUUAGGUUUUUCAAAAACUUUUUCAACACAAAAAAUUUAAGUACAAUAUAAUAAAAAAUAAAGAGAUAGAGUUAUAGAAUUCAAACUUGGAUUUUAUAGUGGUUCAACACUUCUUUACCUAUGUCCACUCUUUUCAAUCUCCUAACUGAGUGAGGUUUCUACUAACUUAAAGCUUCAACCAAGCUUUCAAUUUUCUUACACUUGGAUUCCGACUCCAAUGGGCUCUUACACAAUUUCUUCAAGAUUCAAACCUCUUGAACAUUUUAACACUCAAUUUUUACAAGAAUGAAUCCCUCAACCUAGCUCAAAGAUAACUCAAAUACAAAACAAAGUUAGGAUGACUAACAAGGAUGCAUUAAAAGAUAUGCAAGUGAGGAUUUAAUGCACUAAAAAAGAAAUGAGAGCUUUUAAGCCAAGAACAAGUGGGUAGACAAUUGAUUGCAAGUGUUCUCAAUUUAUAAGUUUCUAAACUCGGGAGCCAAGAAAAGCAAAAGGUAGUCUCGACCGGUCGAGUUGGGGGUUGACCGGUUCACUAGCCAUUGGAGCAUUUAAUGUUUUGACAGGUUACCAUUGCCUAGACCGGGAAGAAGGAAACCUCAAUUGGGAAAAGGAAGCUACUGGAUGAGAAAGAGUGUUUUUGGUACUCCUCGAUUGGACCUCGACCGAACAAGGGCAACCGGUUGAGCCGGUUGGCCAGAACCUCGACCAGUUUAGCAUUUUGGCCCCGAAAACCUAUCUUUUUCAAUUCCUUUCUUUUCUAACACUUAGGCAAGGUCUUUAGGUAAAUUAAUAUGCCAAUUUUAAAACGUUUUGCCUAAGGUACAUUUGAUAAAACUCGAGUUUUAAUGAAAUCAAAAUUUUAAAGAAUAAACUGAGUUUUCAAAGAUGCAUGAAAAUGUAUGAAAAACCUAAAUGCACCCAUGCAUUCAUCUUACAUUCGUUUCCUAUGAUCAAAAGUCUUCCAAAAGUCUCGAUCUUGUAUCCAUUUGGUCAUUUGAUGAAUUUCCGAAUUUAUACCUGAGAUUCUUUUACCAUUCAAAUCAAUUAGUCACUUAACCAUGAUUGGUUAUCAUCAAAACCUGAUUAGGAGAACCCUUGGGCUAACAGUUAUUAACAAUAUUUUCGCUUUCCAAGUAGCCUCUGAUAUCAUAAGAAAUGAUGAAGAUCUUGAACCAAAAAAUAUGGAAGAAUACUGACAUAGAAAUGAUUGGCCAAAAUGGAAAGAAGCUAUACAGGCAAAGUUAAACUCAUUAACAAAAUGAGAAGUUUUUGGACCUAUAGUCCAAACACCUGAAGAUGUAAAGCCUGUUGGGUACAAAUGGUAUUUGUAUGAAAGCGUAAUGAGAAUAAUGAGAUUAUAAGAUAUAAAGUGCAAUUAGUAGCAUAAGGUUUCUCGUAGAGACCUGGUAUUGACUACGAGGAAACAUAUUCUCCCAUCAUGGACGCAAUCACAUUUCGUUUCUUAAUUAGUUUGACAUUCUCAGAAGGACUGGAUGUGUGUCUCAUGAAUGUUAUUACAACAUAUUUAUACAGAUCCAUGGAUAAUGAUAUAUACAUAAAAAUCCCUAAAGGAUUUAAAUUGCUUGAAGUAAAUAGUACAAAGCCUCACAACAUGUACUAAAUCAAGUUACAAUGAUCGUUGUAUGGAUUAAAGCAAUUUGGACGCAUGUGGUACAAUCAUCUUAGUGAAUACUUGCUAAAAUAAGGGUGUGUGAAUAAACCUAUAUGCUCAUGCAUCUUCAUUAAGAAAUCAAAAACCGGAUUUGCAAUUAUUGUAAUGUAUGUUGAUGACUUAAAUCUUGUUGGAACUCUUGAAGAGCUCACAAGAACAACAAAUUACUUGAAAAAUGAAUUUGAAAUGAAAGAUCUUGAAAUUUUUUUUUUCUCGGCCUAUAAGUCGAGUAUUUUCCAAAUAGAGUUUUAGUACAUCAAUCAACAUACAUUAAUAAAGUUUUGAAACAUUUUUAUAUGGAUAAAACGCAUCUUUUAAGUUCUCCAAUGGUUGUCCAAUCAUUUGAUGCGAAAAAGGACCCAUUUUGUCCUUGUGAAAAAGAUGAAGAAUUACUUGGUCCUGAAAUACCAUAUCUUAGUGCUAUUGGUGCACUUAUGUAUCUUGCCAAUUGUACACGUCUAGACAUUGUUUUUUUUUUUUGUCAAUUUAUUAGCAAGAUACAGUUCCGCUCCCACUUGAAGACAUUGGAAUGGUAUUAAACAUAUAUUGCGUUAUCUUUGCGGAACUACUGAUACGAGUCUAUUUUACUCAAGGGAAUCAAAGCAACAAUUGCUUGGAUAUGCAGAUGCAUGAUAUCUUUCAGAUCCACAUAAAGGUAGGUCACAAUUAGGGUAUGUGUUUAAUUGCAAUGGUACUGCUAUUUCAUGGAGAUUUGUCAAACAAACAAUAGUGACCACAUCGUCAAAUCAUUCAAAAAUACUGACAAUUCAUAAAGCAAGUUGUGAAUGUAUAUGACUAAGAUUUAUGAUCCAGCAUAUUCGGGAAUCAUGUGGACUCUCCUUUAUCAAAGGUGACCCGACAAUAUUAUUUGAAGAUAAUGUUGCAUGCAUUACACAAAUAACAGGGAGUUAUGUUAAAGGGGAUAGAACUAAACACAUUUCACCAAAAUUAUUUUAUACACAUGAAUUCUAGAAGAGUGGUGAAAUUGAUGUGCAAAAAAUAUGCUCAAGUGUUAAUCUAGUAGAUUUAUUCACAAAAUCAUUGUCAACCUCAACAUUCAAGAAGUUAAUACACAAGAUUGGAAUACGUCAACUCAAGGAUAUUGACAUGAGGAGGAGUAUGCUUGUAAAAGGGUGUUAGUGUACUAUACUCUUUUUUCCUUCGUCCAGGUUUUGUCCUACUGGGUUUUACUAGCAAGGUUUUUAACGAGGCAAUCCUAACAUACCAAGAGCAACUUAAAGAAUUAUAAGAAUAUUGUACUAUUUUUCCUUCGCUAGGUUUUUCCCAUAAUGUUUUUUACUAGCAAGGUUUUAAUGAGACAUAUUCUUUAAUGUGGUGGACAUCCAAGGGGGAGUAUUAUAACUGAAGUAAUAAAUGUCACCACAUUAAUUACAAUAAAUGUUAAUUAAGUAUUAUUUAUGAUUUCCAUUAAUAUUCAUUAAUGGAAACUAUUAAUGUUAUUUAUGAGUCUCAUUAAUGGAAACCAUUAAUGUUAUUUAUGAGUUCCAUUAAUAUUCAUUAAUGGGAAUAUUAAUGGAAGCCAUUUGGAAAGCCCAUAAAAAGGGCUUCCCAUCCUCUGUCAUAUGCAUCCAAAACAAGAAAGAAAUUUCUUACUUUCUCUCAUUCUCUCUAUAUUUCAUUCUCUCAACUUUCUCAAUUCUCUUUUGUGAUUUUUUUCCCUAUUAUAUAUUAUUAUCAAAGUAAUAUAUAAUUUAUUUCUACUAAUUUAUUUGCGUUACAUUUAUCCUUGUUUUACAACAAAAAAGUAUUUUUAAAUACGCCAUUUGACCCAAAAAAAAGAAAAGAAAAGAAUUUAAGAAAAUGCAAUAUGAUAUUAAAUCUGAAUUUAUAUAACAUUUUCUUUCAUAGUAUAUGCCACCUCAUUUUUCAAAAAAUUUCUUUCCAUCCCUUUAAUAAAUAAAUAAAUAAAAUAAAAUUUUCUUUAUUUUUUAUUUUAAUAAAUAAAUAAUUUUAUUUAAAAUUCAAUGGUGAUUUGAGGGGAGCAUAAAGAAAUUAACGUAAAUGUGAUACAAAUAUUUUAAUCUUUUUAUUUAUUUUUUCAUAUUAUAGUGCUUAUAACCAAAUUUUUAUUACAAGUAUGAAGGAUUCAAUAAAUAUUUAUAAAUUUCAAUCAAAUGGUAAUUUGCCUGAAAUUUCAUUUAUGCAUUAUUAAUAUCUCAUAUUAGUCAUUAAACAUCAUUUGUAAAAUAUUUAGAGAGUGUUUCUAUUUGAAGUGUUUUUAGUAAAAGUGCUUUUUUUGACAGUGUUUUUAAGAGAAUCAUCUAUCAAGAGCCCGUUUGGCAGUGAUUUUCAAAACUGUUUCUACCCUUAAAAACACUUUUCAGUGUUUUUGGGAUAAAAAUAAAGUGUUUAACAAAUUUUUAAAAACACUUUUGAAAAUCUGGGAAAACACUUAAAGUGAUUUUUAGAUAAUCACUUGACAAGUGUUUUUUAAAAAAAACACUUCAAAAAAUUUGAAAUAUUCCAAAAAUGCCCCCAAGUGAUUCCUGAUAUCUUCCUUCCUUUUCGCUCAUACCUCUCUCCUUCAUUCUCCUCCUCCAUCGCUCUCCAUCCGAGACUACACAGUAGGAAAGACACUCCACUUUUAUUCAACAUCGUUGAUCGGAUCGAAGGUAACCCUCUGUUCUUUUGUUGUUUUUCUUUUCUAUUUUUUUUUUAAUGUCUGAUUGUCUUGAAAUGUUAGUUAGGGUUUUAGGUUUUAGGAUUGUUUAGUUAAGAGAAAAAUAUGAGAAAAUGAAACUUGUAAAUCCUCAAAUGUUUUUAUAGGAAUUACUUCCAAGCCUUAACAAUUUUAGAUCUAUUUUUCAAUAGAGCAGUCGAGUCUCAUUUCCCAGUACUUCUCUCUCUAAAACUCUCAUUCUCUAUUUUGGUUCACAUAUGAAAUUGCUCUAUUUAGGGUUUUUGAGUUCACAUAGUCUCGACAAUUCAAAAAAGCAACAUUUCAGUUCCCUAAAAUUCAACUACAUUUGAACCUAAACACAUGCAAUCUUUUAGAAAUCAAUUGCAGAUCAACACAUAUCAUAAUUCUCAACUCGAUAUCAGAAAUUAAACAUAGCCAAUUCAAUUAAAAGGAAUAUAAAAACUAUUGAUUCAACUUAUAAAUAAAACAUCAAAUCAUAAAAUUUAAAACUGAAAGACUAACCAUGCAUUGCUGAACACUGAACUGGAAAUCCCAUAAAAUCUGAAUGUUGAUGUUAUUCGAAAUCUUGUUGUUGCCUGCAACCGCUGCAUUUCAGGUAUGAUUAAAAAAAAGGAAUAAAAGAUAGAAAUCAGGAUCUUAACUGACGAAAUGGAGAAACUUACCGGUGAAGAGAGAAUAUUGAAUGCCAAAAAUGAAAAGAAAGAAGAAGAGGGCAGCGUAGAUAAGAUGGAAAAUAGUGAAUCUCAUCUUGUUGGAAGAGAACCUACUUAGAGGAUGAAGAGGUCUCAUGAUUGAGAUUCGUAGACUGAUUUCAAAUCAAUUUUCGUGUAGAUCUCUGCUAUAGCUAAUAGGGGGACUAUGGAUUGUUUACAGUUCCUGCUUCUUGGAGUUGUACCUUCUAGGUUGAGAAUGCCUUCUAUGUGUUUUCAAUAAGUUAUAGAACCACUCCUUUUUCCCAGUUUGAUCUUAGGUUUUCUAUGUCAUAUUGGGUUGUCCAUCUUCUGAACAUGGGCUAAAACAUCAUCUUUGCAUUCUCAAUGAGCCAAAUUCUAGAGUCAUAAUUAAGCUGCUCAGUGACACCUGCAAGGGAGAAAUGAGCUGGUUUCAGGCAAGUCAUAGAACUCAUUGCGAAGAGGUGGAAUUGACUUCCUCCUAUAUGUGAAACAUUCCAACUAGUUUUCAGAUGGUCAAGACUUGAUUACAUUGCAAUACAUGUCUAAAUGUAGAGAGGCGGUUAGAGUAUGACUUGCAAUAGAAACAAAGAAAAUGUAGACCCAUUAAAUCAAUAUCCUGAUGCAAAGAAAAAAAAUUUAUGAGAGAAGCGGAACUAAAAAAUUUAGUUUCUACCAAAUUUAGGAUUUGUAGGCUUUGUAUGUAUCUUCAGUUUCUACCAAUGAGGAUUUCUUUUCAACCAAGAUUAUUGCACUUGAGGAUUUCUUUUUCUUAUUUGUUUAUUAUGCUUUACAGAAUUUGCCUAUAUGAUGUUCAAUACCGAGUUUACAUUUUAAAAUUUUAAUCAUACCAAGCAUUGUCUACACUAGAUAACCAUAUAUUCUUGAUGUUUUGUUCCUUAAUUCUUUUUUUAUUCUUCAUUUUAAUUGUGUGAUUCUUUGUUUGAAAAUUAUUAUUUCUCUAAAAUAUAUAUAUUUUUAAAUAGAGAAUGUCUAGCAACAUUGUUUAACCAUUACAACAACCAAGUGGUGGAGAAAGUAAAAAACAAAGCAAGGCUUAUUGGGAUGAUAUUACAAUGGAUGCUUUUAUCAAAGUUUGUGUGAUUGAGACCUUGAUUGGAAAUAGACCAAAUAAUCACUUUAACAAGUUGGGAUGGAAAAAUGUGAUAAAAGCCUUCAACAAUUUGUUUGGAAGAAACUAUCAAUAUAGGCAACUUAAGAAUAAAUGGAGUUCUCUUAAAAAGGAUUGGGAACUUUGGAAUACCUUGAUUGGGAAAGAGACUGGCCUUGGGUGGGAUCCUAUGAGACAAACCAUCAAUGCAAGCAAUGAAUGGUGGGAUAAGAAAUUGAAGGUAUGUUUUGUUUAUUCAUUAAAUUUAUUUGAUUAAUUUAUAUAUUGGUUAUGAAAUAUGAUAAAUUAAAUACUCUUGUAGGAGAAUCCUGAAGCAAUAAAGUUUAAAACAAAAGGCUUGAAAAAUGUUGAGUAAUUAGACAUACUUUUCAAAUAUAUUAUUGCUACUGGUGAAGGAGACUGGGCACUAUCACAAGGCUUUGUAGGACAAGAUGUUGAUGAUUCAUCUAAGGUGGGGGAACACGAAGAUAAUAUAAUAGAAGACCAAGAUGACUCUAGUUGCAAUCUGCCACUUAAUACUAUCUCCAAUAGUUUUGAAGCUACUACUCAACCUUCUAUGGCAAAAAAGAAUGAAGGAAGAAGAAAGAGGAAAAGAAAUGAAACCAAAUAUGAGCUUGUGGCUAUCCAGUUAGAGCGCAUUUGUAGUGCUGUGGAGAAUAGGUCUUCUAUCUCAUCUAAAGGAGAUAAACCAGGUUGUAGCAUUGCUGAAGUGAUGAAAAUCAUACGUGGGAUGCCUGAAGUGAAGAAUGACUUUGAGUUAUAUAUGAAAGCCACAAAUAUCAUGGUUGUCAAGGAAAAUAGAGAUAUGUUUGUUGCAUUAGAAGACCCAAUUGAUCAGAUUGCAUGGCUUAAACAUAAACAUGUUUGAGUGUUGGAGUUGUUUCUUGUUUUUAUAUGGAAACAUAUUUUUNNNNNNNNNNNNNNNNNNNNNNNNNNNNNNNNNNNNNNNNNNNNNNNNNNNNNNNNNNNNNNNNNNNNNNNNNNNNNNNNNNNNNNNNNNNNNNNNNNNNAAUUGAUCAGAUUGCAUGGCUUUAAACAUAAACAUGUUUGAGUGUUGGAGUUGUUUCUUGUUUUUAUAUGGAAACAUAUUUUUGUUACCUAAUAUUGUUUAGUUGUUAGGUUGAGGGGAGGAAAGAGAUGUUGGUUUGCUUUAUGUGUGAAUUGCAAAAGUCAUUAUGCCCUUAUUUGAUACUUUUUAUUAUUUCUUUCUCUAAAAAUUGUGACUAUUAGAUGAGCUUUGGUGGUAAACUUCUUAUAAAAUUUGGUAUUGUUUUUCAUUUUAUUAAUGUGUAGUUCCUCUGUUCUUUUUUUAUAUUUCAUCUUAGUCAUUUAACAUUUUUUUUUGGGUUUAUUUUUUCUAUAAGAUAUAUUUUUUUAAUAUAGAAUGUCUAGCAAUGGUAGGAAUUCUAAACUUCAAUUGUGUACUUUCUAAUUUUUAAAAAUAACUAUAGUAAUUGAAAAUAUACAUUAUUGUUGUUUAUUAACGUAUUUCUUUUUUUAUUUUUAUUUGUGUAGAUGUCUUCUAAUAACAAUGAUCAAAAUUUUGAUGAUGAAAGCGAUGAUGAACAUGAUUUUUAUCAAUUGGUGCUUGGGGGUUGUGUUGUAGCUGCAACACAUACUAGUUUCAAAGGAAAAAAAACCUUGUAGAACUUCUUCCCACACAAGAUACAAGUUUGUAAUGGAUGUCUUAAAUGGCUAUGAAAUUAGGUGUUUUGAGCAAUUUAGAAUGGAAAAACAUGUGUUUAUGAAUUUCUUAGAAACACUUACUAAAAGGUAUGGCCUAAAAGAAGGUUUUGAUAUGCCCUUAAUAGAGGUCUUAGCAAUGUUUCUCACUACAAUAGGUCAUAGACUAAGCAAUAGGAUGAUUCAAGAAAGAUUUCAACACUCUGGUGAAUCUGUAUCUAGAUGGUUUGAGAUUGUAUUAGAUGUUGUUUGUCUUAUGGCUAUAGAUAUUAUAAAACCAAGUGAUCCACAAUUUAAGGAUGUCCUUGAUAAAAUAAGAAAUGAUGAUCGGUAUUGGCCAUAUUUUCAGAAUUGUAUUGGGGUAAUUGAUGAAACUCAUAUACCUAUUGUGGUUUCCAGAGAUAGAAAAAUACCAUAUAUGGGUAGAAAAGGUAUGGCUACCCAAAAUGUUAUGGCGGUAUGUGAUUUCAAUAUGUGUUUCACAUUUGCAUGGGUCAGAUGGGAAGGCACUGCUCAUGAUGCACGGGUCUUUUUAGAGGCAUUAAGAAGGCCAAAAUUGGGUUUUCCUCAUCCACCUAGAGAUUUGUGAAUGAUAAUAUCAAACUUGUUUUUGUGAUCAAAUUUUUAUUAUCUAAUAUAUAUUUUUUGUUUUUGUUUUGUAGGUAAAUAUUAUUUGGUCGAUGUUGGUUAUCCUCAAAUGAGUGGAUAUUUAGGCCCUUAUAAAGGCGAGCAUUACCAUCUUCCAGAUUUUCGACGAAGUAGUUCACCUAAAGGUAAAAAGGAAAUAUUUAAUCAUAGGCAUUCAUUCUUGAGGUGCACAAUUGAGAGAACGUUUGCCGUUUUGAAGAAUAGAUGGAGAAUGCUACGAGAAAUGCACAAUUUUCCUCUUUAAAAACAAGUAAAGAUUGUUAUUACUUCAAUGGCUCUUCACAACUUCAUAAGGAUUAAUGCUAGAAUGGAUAUGGAAUUUAAACCUUAUGAUGAUGAUCAAGGGUUGCUUCCACUUAAUGAAGAAGAGAGUAGAGUGGAUUCACUUGUUGAGGAAGAUGGUUCACAUCAUACAAGAGAGAUGGAAGAACAUCGUGAUCGAAUUACAAAUCUUCUUAUAUCUCAUUAAUGUUUGAUUAUGACUCUAAUAUCCCUCCCCCCCUCUCCCCCCUUUUUUUUUGCUAUGAAAACAUUUGUUUUCUUAUUUGCUUUUAAUUAUAAUUUUUUUUUGAGAAAUUAAUAGAUAAUCAUAUAUUGUUUUAAUUUGAAAUUUAUCUUUUAUUCAAUCUUUUUUAUAUUGAUUUAGAUGUUUUUUGUAAAUAUUUUUAAAAAUUUUAGUAUAGUGAUAAAAAAUUAUUAAUUUUAAUUAGAAAAGUCUUUUUUUUUAUAGAAAUUAAUAGGUAAUCAUAUAUUGAUUUAGAUGUUUUUUGUAAAUAUUUUUUAAAAUUUUAUUAUAGUGAUAAAAAAAUUAUUAAUUUUAAACUAAUAUAUGAUAUUUAUUAUUUAUUAAUGCAAUUAUUUUUGUAAACAUUUUUCAAAAUUUUAUUUAAAUCAUAAAAAAAAUAUUUUUAGUUUUUUUAACAAUAAUAUAUAUAUAUAUAUAUAUAUAUAUAUAUAUAUAUAUAUAUAUAUAUAUAUAUAUUCUUUUAAGAUACAUGUUUAUAUAUUUUGUUGUAAUGAAAAGUUUUUUGUUUAUCAUACUAUUUUUUUUAAUUAAAAUUGUAUGUCAUUUUUGGUAAUUUAUUAAUAUUAAAAGUGUUUUUUUAUACUUAUACAACAUAUUAUCAAAAACACUAUUAAAAUCAUUUUUUUGAUUCUCAUAAAAGUAUUUUUCAUAGAAACACUACAGAAGAAAACACUUCAAAUAAAAACACUUCCACUAGAAUCACUGCCAAAUAGGCUCCAAGUGUUUCUUCAGAAAAGAUAACAAGUUAUUUUUCAUAUUUUUAAAAGUGCUUCUUAAAAUUUGUCAAAUACUUAAUUUUUUUUUUCAAAAACACUUUUUAGGCUAAAAACGUUUCUUAAAAUCACUCUAAAUGAAUUCAAAGAUUGUAUUUGAUAGUAUUUCCAUUUAAAGUGAUUUUUCAGAUUUUUAAAAAUGUUUUAUAAAUCUUACCAAACAUUUAAUUUUUUUUUAAAAAAAUACUUUUAAGCUAAAAACGAUUUCUAAAAUUGUUGUCAAAUGGAUUUUAAAAAUACAUUCGAUAGUAUUUUUACUAGAAAUGUUUGUAGUGAAAACAUUUUUAGAAAAAUCACCAAUCAAAUAUUUCUCAAAAAACAUUAUAAGUGAUUUUCUAGUAUCACAAGUAAUUCUUCAAAAUUUUAAAAGUAUUUCCUAAAUUUUGUUAGACAACCUUUUUUUUCUUUUUCAAAAACACUUUUUAAUUUAAAAAUGCUUCCUAAAGUUACUAUCAAGCAAACUCUAAUAAACAUAAACUACUUAUAGUUUGAAAAUAUUAUCUAAUUUUUUAAAAGCCAAGUUGAGGCGAAAAAAAAAUUAAUGCAAUUUAAUUAGAUAUAAUUUAUUUAAUUCCUAGAAAAUCAUAGAACUAGUAAAAUAGUACUCCGUUCUCGCUUGUUGGAGAGCUUUGUCAUCUUAAGAUGGGGUGGUGGUAAAAUGAUAACAAAAAUGAAAAUAAAAAUUUAAGAUAUAUUUCUUGAAAAUAAAAUUACAAACAUGCUUAUUUAUUUUUAAUGAUAACAAAAAUGAAAAUAAAAAUUUAAGAUGUAUCUAUUAAAAAUUAAAUUAUAAACAUGUUUAUUUUUAUUUAUUUUUUAAAUCAUUUGUAAUAUUUUUCAAAGAAAUAUGAUUUUGUAAAGAUAAUUUUAAGCAAAUAGUUCCUAAAAAAACCCUAAUAAACACUCUUUUAUGAAUGUGUUUGACAAUAUUUCUAUUUGAAAUAUUUUUAAUCUAAAUAUUUUUAAGAUAAUCACCAAUUAAAGGUUUUUCUAAAAAAACAUUAUAAAUUAUUUUUUAAUACCAUAAGUAGUUUUUCAGAUUUUUAGAAGCGUUUACUAAAUUUUGUUAAAUACUUAUACUUUAUUUAAUAAUUGUUUUUUAAAACAGUUUUGCAGAAUGGUUUUUAAUAACAAUUUUUAAAAAUUAUUGAAAUGUUUUAUAAAAUAAAAGUCUGUUUGGAAAAUUGAAAUGUUUUUAACUUAUUUUUAAUAUUUUUAAAUAUAUUUUAAAAAUAAUUUUAUAUCCCAUACUUUAUUUUUAAUAAUUCUACUUGCUUAAAACAAGUGAAAACAAUAAAAAGCAACUAAAAAAAUAUUCUCCGAAAGCAUGUUUUUUGUUCUUAAAAACAUAAAACAAAAAACAAUUUCUAGUUACCAAACAUGUUAUCUUAUUUUUUGUUCUAAAGAAUAAAAAACUGUUCUCAAAAAGAGUUACUAAACAUACCUUUAGGCCUUAUUUGAUAAUUGCUUUUGAAACUAAUUCUAAAAAAUAGUUUUUAAGAUUAAUUUUUGAAAACCGUUCUCCAAUAUUUUGUUGAAUAAAAAUAUGAUUAGGAACUAAAAUAUUUUUAAUCUGUUUUUAAUAUUUUUAAAAAUACUUUUUAUGUCUACAACUUUAUUUUAAUUAUUAUAUAUGUUUGUAUAAUUAUUUUUUUAAAACAACACUAAAAUAAUAGUGAAAACAACUAAAAGAUGUUCUCUAAAAAUAUUCUAUAUUUUAUUUUUGAGAAAAAAAACAAUUUUUGAUUGCCAAACGUAUUUUCCAGUUUUUUUCCUCUCUAAAAAACAGAAAACUGUUUUUGAAAACAGCUAUCAAACAUACCCUUAAUUUUUUUCAAAAAUACUUUUUAAGUCAUGAUUCCUAAAAUCAAUGUAUAACCUCUAGUUAAAAUUGCUUCUCAAAUAUGAAUUUGAUGACUGUACCGUCCAUGGUGAUCAGUUACCUUACAGCCCAGUCGACCAGGCUAAAUAAUCCAAAAAUAAUAAUAAUAAUAACUUCCAACUACAACUCAUGCCAAAGAAACUUCCUAAAUAUCAACACACAUUCACCACCCAGUCCUAAAUCCUAUAUGGAAUCAAACUGCAUACUGUUAUUUAGAGAUGAUAUUCUGAACCAAACAAACCCAGACAAGAAGCUCCAACCAUGGCUGCUCUGCAUUCAGAAUGGAACCUCCACCGGAGUUACCCCCAUUUUUUCAAGUGCAGAUUGGAACAUCAUACCCACCAUUCAAUCGGUACACCUUACUCUUUUAUAUGGUCUUUGUCUAUAUAUUUGUCUGGAGUGUGGCAUGUGGAUGGUCUAAAUUUGAUAAUCCUUAGCCAUGACCUUUAACAAAGCUACAAAUAUAAUGACCCUCACAGUGAAUCAUCAAAUGUGAAAUAUCAUAAUCAUCCUAUACAUAUAUAAUAUCCUCGUUGUGGCCUUCACGGGUCUAAAACAAACCCCCACACAUGCAAAAGAGGCCAAUUCAUCCACAAGUGGGAGUUUAUAUAUAACCCACUAUAAAUAUGCCCUCAAACAUGGCCUCAUGCAUCCUUAGGGCUUAGAGUCAUCUCCCAGCUUAGGACACUGCAUAAAAAUGAAGAUUUCUCAUUACUACUGCAUCACUAGUCUCCUGCUUCUGAUUCUCUUCUGCUUUUCAGAGGGCUGGCGCGCUGAUCCCACAUAUGGGUUCACUGUUGUGCCCUUGACAGAAUGGAAUUUUGAACUGCAAAAGCCAUAUGAUGUGCCGCUGGAGGAGCGCUACAGCUAUGAAAAUGGAGUAAGGAAGCUGUGGGUGUAUGCUGAUGAUAAGCCCCAUGACCCUAACAGUCUCACUCAGCCACGGACCGAAGUCCGCAUUCGGGUACUCUUCCUCUCUCUUCCUCUGCCUAUACACCAUGCUUAAACACAGUACUCUCAUUGUGAUCUUCUUGCAGGGACUUGACUACUCAUCUGGGGUUUGGCAGUUUGAAGGGUAUGGCUUUGUGCCAAAUGGAACCUCUGGUGUGACUGUCUCCCAGAUACAUGGUGCAGCUCAGGCCGCUACAACUUUGAUUCUGAGGAUCUACAAUGGUGAUAUGAGGUACUAUAGUGCUGAUCUGAUAGCCACUGGUAUGUAUGAUAGGUGGUUCAGGCUUAAUGUCAUCCACGACGUCGAUGGGGGGAAGGUGACAGUGUUCAUCGAUGGCGUUCAGAAAUUUCAAGUGAAGGAUAAAGGGCCAGGAGACUUGUAUUUCAAGUGUGGAGUUUAUGCUGCCCCGGGUAAUAUCAGCUACUGCAUGGAAUCAAGGUGGAGAGACAUCAAGAUUUACAAAAAGUAAUGGUGAAGGAUUGAGAUCUUUGUAGUCUGUAUUGAGAAAACUCUUGAUUAGCUAUUAUGCAGAUGGACUUUUUCUCUCAAAUGAUUUUGGGAAGGACUGAAUGAUCAAGCUUAGUAAGUCAUGGACUCAUUUUCCAAUCAUGAAUCCAAUUUGAGGUCAUUGAAUCAUUAAAAAAUUGGUCCAAAAUCAACACACCAGUUAGGUUCCAAGUAAUAAUAAAAAACUAAGAAACAUCCAAGGAGCAUAGUCCAAUCUAAGUCACAAAAUGUGUAUAAACUAUAUCCUGAUUUUGAUUUGGAAUCAAAUACGCCAUUGUUUCUACUUUAGAAUCGGUGAGCUGGGCCAACUGCUCGACUCUGAGAAGUUGACAAGGAAUAACUGCAACAAGUUUCAGCCAACAGUUGUGUGCAAUGAAUCUUAUGUUCCAAAAUUUCCAGGAUGCUGGAACAGAUGACUGAAACAUCAUCAUGGUUUCAGCCUAAGUGGGCUAUUCCCAGAAAAAGAGAAGCCACAUCUAGAAGGUUAAUGCUAUUAGUUUUUGAAUCAUUCUUCUUAUAAUGAGAAUGCUUUAAUGCCAAAGUUUUUGCAAUGAGAAGCAGUUUUUAGAACCCCACAGAACUUAAAAGAGAGGAAAGCAAAAGGGAUCCAAAACUGUUUUCAUAAAACAGUUUCUGAAAUGUUUCUGUCUUGUAUAACAACCAUGGUUAAAUUAGAUUGUCCAGCUGCAAUCUUGUGCAAGUCCUCUUCCAUGAAUGCGAAGGCGGGCUUGGACCUUCUGUCUUAGAGCCAUGGCUUGCAGAUUCAGCUUAUUAACAGUUGGAAAACAAGUAGACCAGGAUAAGACUAGCUGAGCUGCACUCUUAUAAUACAGCAAAAGAUUAUGUAUCCCUUUUAUGUUGCCUAGCAAAUUUUACCUCUGUUUAUGGUAUUUUUCUUUCUUUUCAAGUUCUCAACUAGAAUCAGUCCAUUAAAACCUAUCUUUUCAACUGUAUUUCAAUUUUCACCAGAUGGUGGAGAUUAUGGCCCUAGAGAUUCAUGUAUUGGCUGGCCCCCAAUUAGCUCCUCAACAAACUUGACUGCUUCUCCUUCAGGCUUUGCUAUUGUUUAAUGUGAGGAUCUGCAUCCUCCAUGAAAAAAACAAAACAAAACAAAGUAGUCUUCUUCAUAGACCCCCUCAAUGAAGUCAAUAAUUUAAUCAUGUAGUACCUAUAAUUUUGAGCAGUAGACUCUAUACUCCCAAUGCUUCCAAGACUACGACAAAAAUAAAAGUUUUAGUACUAAAAAAUUUCUUUCUUUAAGUGUUCUAAAGAAUAUUUGAUCACAAAAUUCAGAUGGAUACUCUCUCCAACUAUAAAUUGAAAUGUCAAUGGAGACUAGGAAAAUUAAUAAGAAAGUUGAUAGUGGGGGGCACUUUCAAGUGACCUUCAUGAAAGGAGAGGAAAUGUUAAACAUAAACAGCCUUGUGUAAUCUUUGGAGCUGAUUAUAAACUUCAAACAAGGCUCUCACAUAGGGAAUAGAUGAUUAAGAAGAUGGUCAAAUACUCAUCUACAUGGUUCUGCCUAUUUUACUCAUCUCUUCUUUGGAAAUUUCACAAGUACUGCCAUGUUGACUGAUGCUGACCUUUUUAACAUGAGCUAUCAGUUUUAAGAAACAUAUGCUGUAACACCCUUUAGACGAAGUAAACUAGAUCGAUUAGGUAUAACAAAGCUCCAAAUUACUAGGCAAAGAUAUGACUGCACCUGGGGACCUGUAUUUCAAAUGUGGGGUUUAUGCAGCACCAGCUAAUUCAAGCAACUACAUGGAAUCAAGAUGGAAGGGAUCAAGAUAUUCAAAAAAUCAAGUCGGGAAUUGCAGUAACUAUGGCUAGAGUCAUGUAAACUUUGUUAUGUUGUUAUCCUAUAGAACUAUAGAAGCUUGUAUACUCUCAUGUGAAAGAAAGCAGCAGUGUAGAACAUGUCAUUUCCAUCUUUAAAAUCAGAAAUCACAGACUUCAGGCUUGUACUAGAGAAAAGAUGACAAAUUAAACAAAACAUAACAAAACAACAUGGGUUGAUGCCUCAUGGUAAGUGGCAACCUCAGCCACUUACAUUCCAGUUUUCAGUCCAUUAACCAUAGAGCCUAAAGCUUGAACAACAGCAUAAGAAAUCCAAAAUUGGGCUCUCUAUCUUGAGCAGUAACAUUUUGCCCAUCUGGGUAUGCCAGCAAGAAGAAGAAAGUUCACAAAAACUACAGUUCUCUCUGGCAUCUUACAGUUCAUUUGGCUUUACAUCAGAAACUUCCUUGGUAGGCAAAUUGCAAAAGAAAUGCAUUCAAGCAACAGCAAAAUUGAAGGGAAGGGAAAUUUUUUUGAAGAAAUCUUAAUUUGUCGUUUGAUAGUGUUAUUGAAAUAGAAAGAAAAUAUGGUGGAAAUCCAAAGGGGUUUGUAGCAUUUGAAACUCUUUAUUCUAAUUUUUCAAAAAAAGAAUCAGUGUGGGAAAAGGAAGAAUAGGCAAGUACCAGUAGAAGCAAAACUACUACGUCAAUAGGAAUUCAAGCAAAUGAUGAUAACUGAUAUCAGCAACACAAAUUAAAUUGAGUAAACAAGCGCGAUCCAUUAAUUCCACAUCCUCAAUUAGGUACUCUAAUCAACAAGAAGGAAGACAAAAGAAACCUAAUCCUCUUCUUAUACAAGCUCAGAAAGGAAAUCUAUGGUAAUAUCUUGACUAUUAUUAUCAAUCACCUUGAACCGAUCUAGAAGGCCAUGAAUGAAAUGAAUGAAAUGCUGAAGUGAAUAUAUUUUUUCUCUCUUUGUUUUUUUUUUUUUUGCUAAAUGGCACAUUUGUACAGCAUUAUGAGGUAAGCGAGAAGCCUAGGAACCACAGGGAAGGCAACACCAUUUCUCAAUCAGAGAAAAGAACCACUGUAGAGGGUUGGGAUCUGUGUCUUCUGAUGAAGAUGCAGUAGGCAGUGGUAGAUGUGGAGGUAAAUGCCGAUGAAAUGCAUCAACUGCAGCUGCUACCCCAUCUUCAUUCUCUAUCAAUUUUGCUAAUUCCAUUGCUUGAGAUUUAACCUGGGAGAAUCAAAACAUGCCCCAUUGGUUUAUCAAUUCAGCAUAUGCAGGCUACCAUGUGACCUCUCCUUGCAUGAAAGUGGAAAACCAAGUGCCUGUUUGGAUAUACUUCCUGUUUUUCUGUUUUUAAAAUCAAAAUAUAGUAGCAACUUUUAUAUAAGACAUAAGAAUUCUUAAAAGCUUACAUUGAAAAAGUAAUGGUUUUAAAAAAUGUUUAAAAACAUUGAGGCAGAAAAAAAAUAAAAUUUAGACCUCAAAGUUGAAAGUUUUAGAAAGUGGUUUUUAAAAAUAAAAGGCAAAUUUAUUACUACAUUCCAAUUUUAAAAAUAAAAGAUGAGAAGUGUAUCCAAACGGACACUAAACAACUAUACUAAAAUGACGUACCAUUCAUGUGCUGAAACUUUGUGACAAACAUAACAAUUCAUUCUAACACAAUAUGCUCAAUUAAGAUGACCAAAACCCUUUUUCCGUUUUUUUUCCUUUUUCUUUGGUGAAUCCCCAGGAUUGUGCUUCAGGAAUAGAAUUCUCACUUUUUUGUAAAUGGUAAAUGUCAUGCAGUAUAAAAUUACUUGCAAGUCUUUAAAUGCUACUUUUAUGUCCCUCAAUCUACAUUGAUUUAAUAGCUAAAUAAACAUGGUUGUCUCAUGAGAAAAAUAAUUUAAACCAGUUUUGCAAGGAUUUUGUUUCUACAGAAGAGGGAAUUAGGCUGAAGACAGUACACAGUUGUAAGUUGUGAGAGCUUCCAAAGAUGACUUAAAUGAUGAAUUUAUAAAGACCUGAGAAAAUAGAAUUGCCUCAUAAUUCUAGAUGGUAGAAUUUCAUUGUUUUCACUACUUAUCUGUAGGUUAAUGCAUUGAUAUGGCUUUGUGGGACCCAUUAAAUAUGUGACAUUUUCAGAUGAUCUUUUCAUGAGCAAUGGAGGAUAUAAUCAUAAUUACCUCUGGCUGGAGCAUGAAUCGUAUGGCAUCAGUAAGGGUCUCAACACUGAGCUGCGAUAUAGGUAUAGGUGCAGGCCCAAGUCCUCUUUGAUGAAUUCUAUCACCCCAGAAGAACUGAUCUCCAAAGAACGGCACUAUGGUUGUUGGACACUGAAAUUCAAAAUUUGGACGUCAAAAAAGACCAAAAAGUGGAAUUAUAUGCAGAUUGCAUGGUGCUAUGAAUGCAUACAAUCAAAAUCACUUAACAGGGAUUUUUCCCAUCAUUAACAUAAAAAUCUUUCAAAACCUUAAAGGCAGAAGUAUCUCAAACAAAUUGAAAAUUUUAAAUGAAUGUCAUUCUCAUAAUCAAGAAUAUCAAAAUUUGCAACAUUCAAUGAGAGAAUAUUACCCCAGCCUUGAGUCCUGUAGCUGUGGUUCCAGCACCACCAUGAUGAACCUGCAUAUUUGUGGCAAUACAGCUUCCAGUUAAUGGUCUGCUUUACAGACAGCAAAUUUACCAUGUUCAGCAAAAGUGCAUACAAAGAAGUCAUGGUUCUUGUCCCUAGAUUUGGAUGGCAUGACCAUAUUUCUCUGAACAAUACCAACUAGCAAUCAUCUGUUUUUAAUUUAAUUUAAUUUAAUUUAAUUUAAUUAAUUAAUUUAUUUUUGGACAAGUAGAGCAGGCCAAAAAGUGGAACUACAUUAAGUAGAGCCUGUCAAAUUCUUAAUUGCUUUAUCAACUAGCAAUCAUCUGUUUUUAAUUUUAUUAUUUUAUUUUUAAUAUUAUUUUAUUUAUUUAUUUUUGGACAAGUAGAGCAGGCUGAAAAGUGGAACUACAUUAAGUAGAGGCUGUGAAAUUCUUAAUUUCUGUACAACUCACCAAGGCAAGAUAAAAUACAACUCACCACAGCAGAACACCGAGGAAACAGCCAAUCAUGGGGACAUUCCUCCAGAAGAAAAACAUAAUCAGGAACUUCCGGAACUGUAGAAUAGAGGCUGAAGUAAGUGAAUUACCUAUUAAAAGGAGAUACAAGUUUGGAAUUCAAAACAACACCAUCUGUAUUUGAUUUUUGAAUAACACAUCAGGUAUAAUUGACAAUGUUCUUAGGUUUUUUUUUGUUUUUUUUUAUUUUUUAUGUUGAACACUUCUAGAGGAUCUUCAGAAACCUCUAUAUGACAAAGAAAAACAAAUCUCAAUAAGAACCUAAGGUAUUAUGAAAAACAUGAUGUAGAUUUUUUAUGAUGAUGAACUGUUCAAAUAAAACAAAAGUUGAGGGAGAGAGAGAAGUGAGGUCCCAAAACAUAACGAAAAAACAAGAAAUUUCAUUAAAAACUCAAAACAUUAUGAAAGAAGAAUCUGUAUCCUUUUUAUUAUGAUCAACUGUUCAAAUAGAACAAAGAGUUGAGAGAGAGACAGAGAGAAAACAAAUGUGAACACUAGGUUUAGAGAGAUGUGAAAUGGAAUAAGGGUAAAAUCAGAAGUAUUUUGAAGUUUUUUUAGAAUUCUGAUACAUCCACUCCAUAGAGAAGAUGGCCUUUGAUAUAGUCAAACCCAAGUAUUUCCAAUUAUUACAAAAAGAUCUUCAGAUCAAAUAGAUGAAAAGAAUGAAUCAUUGUUUUUGGCUUUUUCUUCAAACUUCACAAUGAAUCAUUGUUUCAUCCCCUUUUCUUCAACAAGUCAAUCUUGUAUUCCAAUGUUCAGGAUCACUUCAGAAAGAAUCAACUAAAAUGAUUCUACGUAGAACUCAACCAAGUCCAAGUGGUUUUUGGCCACAAUUCAACACGGGGACAUCAGAAGAUGAAAAGAAUAUCUUUGUGAAACGUUUGAGAAUUAACCUAACAAACUCAAAUGCAAUCUAGUUAAAAGUCUCUUUCCUUAACAUUUGGUUUCUGAGUGAAACAGUUUGAACAACAAAAAUGAGCCCCUUAAAAAGUAACUUCCUUGAAUCAGGCAAAUAUCACUGAGGCUUCAUUUUGAGAAGUACCAAAUUGUGAAAAUGCAGUUACAUGCACAAUAAGAAUAUGAGCAAUAAAGCAGAAGCCUCUUGCAGUUAUUAUGUCUUGAUUCAAGCACAAUACAAGCUUUAUCAAUGUUUAACACAAAAACACCUAGAUUGAUAAGACACAGGAAAAACUGAAAAUUAUUCUUAUUAGUGGAGAGCAAAGCAGGCAACUGACCCUAAGUUGACAAAGGCAUAGAGUCCAUGAAGGAAUGCACAUCAAACCAGAAGCUAUUACCAAGCAAUAUGUAAUUUUGCCAAACACUCAGAAUUUAAGAUAUAAAGUGAGAAAAAGUGCAACAGCUUAGCACCAAUAAGAAGACACUCACGAAUUCCAAGGCCUCCCCAACCUCGGUCAAUUACUCCCCUCUGACCUGUAUCUUUCAAUGCCUUUAAUAUGAUAUCCGUAGUUUUCUUGGGAUCUUCAAGAGGCUUAACAAGAAACAAAGUAAUCUUUUCAAUUAUAAGCUUUUCAAAAAUAUCAGCAGAAACAGCAUGUUCUACAUGCCAGCAAAAUGAAUCAUGAAUAGAAUAGAAAGUUUAUAUAGAAUCCUUACACCUGUAGAGUAUAUGAAGACAAACAAUGAACUCCACCCAUCACAACAACAAAAUUUUAAAAUUUUGAAGGAAGAAAUUUGACUUAGUAGGUUCAAUAGUACAAGUUAGAAGAAGACUGUUUCUACCGACAUUAUGAUUGCCUAGACUGUCUGAUAGAGGAUUAAGUUAAUUAGUCAUCAAGAUUUUAACUAGGAUACCAUGGCGUGGUUCUGGUCAAUGAAACCCAAGCGAUACAAUGUUGUGGCCAAUAGAAAGACAAAUGAAAGAAAGAAAAAAAUGCUAUAACACAAUCUAGAGAAAAAAAAAUUUAGCAAUUUAAUUUACCUAAAAUAUAUAAGUUAACAGGUUUACUUGAUCAUCAUACCCAGGGUGAAAACCCUCUGUUGCAUAGGAACCAACAAGAAGCACAAAUCAUAAAUCCUUUUACCAAUAGUUUGAAGUAAGAUCACCAUACCAUGCUCCCAAAACCUAUAUAUAUAGGUUUGUCUCCUUUUUGGAUCCACUGAACAAACUCUUCUUGAGGUUGAUACCUGGACCCAAGGUUUAAGAAACAAUAGCCAACAACAUCAACUAAGGAGCCCCAAUCUGCAUUGAAGAAGUUUGGGAGGUAUAAGUGCAAAGUGCCCACAUGAAUAAAGCUGGAUAACGCUUCAAUUUGAUUAAAGUUAACACAGAACCAUGGCCUAGAAUUACUUUUAGGUGCCUCACCAUGUCGCAUUUUAAUUUGGUGAGGGAGAAGAGGAUUAGAAAAGCAGUAGUUAGUUACUGAACAAUCUCCCAGUUUAACUAAAAACAAAACAUCAGAUAAAAUACAAAAAGAAGUAUUGGCUACCUUCUAACAGAAAUAAUUGGCCCUUCAUUUUAGCAUUGGAAGCCCUAAAGUCAAAAAAUAUUGGCAAUACUUCCCCAAUAAUUUUUUAUAUUCUUGUUCUUAUUAACAAUCACCUAAGACGAGGUAAAGGGAACCCAAACAACAUGUAACAUAGGUGAUGUCAAAAAGAAGAAGAAUAACUACAUGACAUACAGCAGAUUGAAGGACAAAAAGGCUGUCCAGGCAUCAAUUUUUUUUGUACGGGCCAAAAAUAAAGUAUGAAAUCUAAGAGACCGUGUAGUUCAGUCAUUAUCAACAAAAGAAACAUAAAAUGGCUAAAUAUAAAUCUCAUAUUAUAGCAUGUUAGUUUGCACUUUGUAUAAACAAAGCCAUUUUCACCUUUUGGUUUUGACACAACAUGGGGACUCCACAUGUAGCCUGUUGGCAGAUGAGAUAUUGACCCAUGGUAAGUACUGAAGUAUGCAAUAGGAGGAAGCUUCAACUUCUUUUUCCUGAAGUCAUUAAUAUAUCCUCUUAUGCCCCACCAUAUCAGCAAAUCCACAACUAUAUAUGAAAGCUGGAUCCAGCAAACAGAAAAUAAGGAAGAGAUAUUUGUAAGCACAUCCAACAAGGGAAAAUGAAAGAAAAGAAAGAAAAGAAAGAAAGACACCAAAAAAAAAAAAAAAAAAAAAAAAAACAAAUGCAGAAGAAUCUGGCAGUAAAGAAAAUACCCAAUAACCAGCACUUCGAGGUACACGAGCCAAUGGAUGAGAAAAUUCAUAUGUUGGCCUGCCUAUUGAAAGCAGAUGUAAGAAGGCAUUGCCUCGUAUAAUGUUCUCCGCAAAAUAAAUAAAAUUUUAAAACAAUGCCUUUGUAGUACACAACUAAAAUUUAGCUCCAUUUGCAUUAUUGGCUAAUUCCCUAAGACCUUAGGCAUUAGGGCACAUGAUAGUCUAAUAAAAAAAAUGUCUCUUCAUAUAAACACUUCCUUUUUUUUUUUAAUGUUACUUUGAAAAUACGAACAGCAACUUAUCUUAACAGAAAGAUCCAGAUUAUUUGUGCACUCAUUUUUUUUUUUCUUUCCAAUGAAUGUUUAAAGAGCAUGCCUUUGGCACACAAGUGUAUUUGCUUGAUUGGCAUUAUUGGCUCAUUCCCUAAUACCUUAGGCUUUGGAUAAGCAAUAGUCUAAUAGAACAGACUUCACUUCAGUUAAACAAUUUGAUUCAUGUUGCUUUGAAAAUAUCAACAGCGAUGUAUUUUCAGAGAUAGAUACUUCCAGAUGAUGAGUUCACUUGUUUUAUCUUCUUUCCAGUGAGUCUCUGUUGAGUGUGGAUGAGAAGAUGAGAAGCAUGUCUUUCUCACUAAGAAUAAACAGACAGGGCCAAAACAUCCUACUGCUAAGAUAACAGACAUUAGGUAAAUGAGACAAUAUUCCAGCCUCUCAGCCCCAAGCCAUAUUGCAAACUAGUUGGUUUUGAGGUUGCAAUACCUGAAAACUACAUCUAUUUUAUAGGUUCUUGGCAGUGGUGGAGCCAGAAAGCUUGGUUGGGGGGGCAAAAUUGUUCACAAAUUUGAAAAAUAUGAUAUCCUUCUUAUCCUUUUAAGGAACUAAGUAGUUUAUGUAUUUAUAAAAGUAUACAAAAAUAUUACAUUAAAUCUGCAACUUUUCAAUAAUGUUGGCAAAAAAACAAAUAUUAAAAGAAUUAAAAAAUGAUUAGAAAUAUAAUUAGAAAAUUUUCAAUAUUUUUUCAUUAAAAAAUCCUUCAAAUUUUUUUUCAAUAAAUUUCAUAAUUUUUUUUAAUAAAAUUUGAGAUUUUUUUUUCUUGAAUAAGUAUAAAAUCAAUUGAAAGUGAUGAAAUCUUUUACUUAAAAAUUACCGAUUAUUUAGUAAGAUCCCUAACAUUCAAUAUCUUGAUAUUUAAACCUUUAAUAAAUUCAUAUAUCAACUUAAAUAAAGUAUAAAUAGUUACAAAGAAUUUGAUACUUAUCAUUGUGUACUGUUCAAAGUAUUUUAUUGGUUAUAUUAUCUUCAAUGGCUAAGACUAAAUAUUGAUCCAAUUAAUGUGAAUAAAUUUAAAAUUUUUAAAUGAUGGAAGAGAAUAUACCAUGAAAAAAAUUAUUUAAUAAAACAUAAGGUACAAAAUGAUAAAAAAACUUAAUUUUAUUCAAAAAAAAAUUAUAAGAUGGAAAAAAAAUUAAGAUAAUGUUAGCAUAUGAGAAAAUAAUGAUAAAGAUAGAACAAAAGGAAACGAUAAGUAGGGAUAUUAAAUAUAUUUUAUAAAAUAUUUUAUUUUUUAAAUUUUAUUUAACUUAAUAAAGUAAGGGUUAAUUUCACUCAUUUAGAUUAAAUAUACUAAGCUCAAUGAGAUCUAGAUUAAACACUUAGCCAUUAUUGACUUGAAAUUUUAUUAAAUAACUCCUUUAUUUUAAGGUGAAAGGAAAACAAAUGAAUAGGAUAAGGGAGGAUAUUUAAUGAAAUUUCAAACUAAUGGUGGCUAAAUAUAUUCAACACAAACCUCAAGGGAGAUGAGUGAAAUUAAGAGUGCGUUUGAUAGCGUUUUUACUUAAAGUGUUUUUAGUGGAAGUGUUUUCUUUGUAAGUGUUUUUAGGAGAAUCACCUAUCAAGUGUUUCUCCAAAAAACAUUGUAAGUGAUUACUCAAUACAAGAAGUGAUUUUUCAAAUUUUUAAAAGUGUUUCGUAAAUUUUGUCAAACACCUAAUUUUUUUUUUUCAAAAACAUUUUUUAGGCUAAAGGAACUUCUUAAAAUCACCAUCAAACAGACUCCAACUCUACAAAGUAAAUUUACUUUUUAGUUUUAUUUAAAAUUUAUAAUAUUAUUUUUAUUUAAACUUUUUGUGGUAUUUGAAAUGUAAUUAUUAUUUUAUAUUUUAAACAUUCAAAAUUAAAUUUAUAUUUAUAGGGUUCAUUUCUAUUUUUUUUUUAAAUCUCUAGUUAUAUAUAAGAUUUUUUUUUUUUUUUUUUGGAAUUUGAUGGGAUAAUACAUAAGAUUUUUUUCGUCCUUUUUUUUUGGGGCGGAUGCCCCAUCGGGCCUUUACUAGAUCCGCCUCUAGUCCUUGGCACAUAGACUGCACAUUUCUAAUAUUUAAACAAAAAAUAUAUGUGUUAGCCUAAUGAUAUCGAGGGCCUAAAUCAUAACAGCUUAAGCUUUUAGAAAAGUCAGUAACCUAACAAUAUGCAACAUAUGUUUCACAAGUGAAGGAGGCACCUAUCACAUAUUAAGCAUAAGGCAGUGCCAGAGUUGUUAACAUGGUUCUUAGUAGCAUAUUUCUGAAUGAGCGGUUCCACAUUCAAAUUAAGAUGCAAGGAAAGUCUAGUUGAAACUCACGUCCAAGGCAUUGUGAAGAAGAUAUGGAGGGGUAUACCAAGAGCUUCAGCAACAUGUGCAUGUCCUACAACUCAAAAAUAUUUUAGAAUUCCAACGUACAUAGUUCAGAAAAAGCAAUGACAAAAGAAAAUAUAAUUAUUUAUCGAAAGUAGAGGAUACAGAGUUAUAAACGCAUCCUUAAGAACUAUAAUGAAUUGAUAACCAAGCAUCAGUUCACAUAACAUUACAACUAAGUUUCUCCAUAAUAACAUGAACAAAAUGAAUUGUCAAAGAGAGUUACAAUAGGACAACAAAAGAUAGGAGACCUAUCCUGACAAGGCCAAUAAAAUUUUUUUAUGGUAGCCCAAUUGUCAACCUAAUGCAAUUUGUGUGAAAUCAAGGUUUGGUUAAUCUCAGUUUUGAUAAUAACAAAACAAGGUUUGGAAGUAAAAAUUAUAUUUCAAGUGUGAUUAGGCAAAAAAAUUUCCAAAGUGGCAAUCACAAAAACAAAAUCAAGCUAAGAGUAAUCAAUAAGAAGAAAAGAUCUCAAAGAGAAGUGUUUUUCAAGAUCUAAGCUUUAUAGGAUCUCUUUGUAAGGUUGUUGGUGUGCUAGGUCUUUCAUGCAUUACAUUAUUAAUUUACGCACCAAAAUCAUUCAAAAGUAAUUUUGUUUUAAAAUUGGACGAUUUCAUGUUUUCAACUAAAACCUUACGUUAAAUGUUUUCCAAACUUGUUUAAAAGGUUUUAAGUUGAAAAUGAUGAUUGUUGAGUCAAAAAUGGCUUAACCGGUUAAAUUGGAUGAGGAACCGGUCGACCUAUUUAACUCAACCGAUCGAAGGGUGCAAAAACCUUCUCUCUCUUCCAGAACGCUUAUUCAACAUGUCAAGGUUGAACCUCAACCAGUUGAGGUCCGGUCAAGGGGCAGUCAAGUUCCAACGGUCACCUGCCAAACAUUAAAUACUAACGGCUAGUCAACCGAUCGACCUUCAACUUGACCGGUCGAACCCCCAAUGGCUAGUUUGGUCAUUUUCCUCUAUAAAAAAAGCUUUAAUCUUCAUUGUUUCAAGAGCUUAACCUUUCUAAACUUUUCCCGAAUAUAUUUGAGUCUUGGGAAAGUGUUUUUGAGUGCACUAUUAUUCUAAAACUUGCAUAUCAUUAGUGCACCUUUCAAUAUUAGUUUUUCUUGUACAUUUGAGCCUAAAGUUUUGUACUAGGAUUUUGUGAUAAUAUUUCCUAUCUUCAUUUGUAAAUCUUUGAGAAGAAAAGUCUAAAUGUGUGAUAUCACUUAGGGAUUCUCAAGUGUGGGGUAUCACUUGAGGUGUUGUUCAAGAGUGGGGUAUCUCUUGAGGAUUGUAAAGGGUGCUUGGAGCCAAAAGUCCAAGAGGGUGAAUUGGAAUCAUAAUCCAAUUGUAUUGCUUGAAGGCUUGGUUUGGAAACCUUGAAAUAGUGGAACCUCAAGCUUAGGAUUGAAGCUAGAGGAGAGUGGACGUAGGCCAAAUUGUGUCGAACCACUAUAAAAAUUUUGUAUUUGCAUUCUCUCUUCCACACUUUUUUACUUAUCUUUAUAUUGUUUUAUUAUAUAUUUGCAUAUAAUUGUCUCUUGUAUUCAUAUAAUUUAAAUUUGCGAAAAGAGACCAUCACUCUAUUCACCCCCACACCUCCCUCUAGGGUGAUUACCUUAGGUUAGAUUAGCCUAAUUUUUCUAACAAUUUGGUAUUAGGGAAAUUGGGGACAAUGGCUAUGGGAAUAGAGCAGGAAAGAACACUUGAGUACCUAGUAGUGCAGAAAGAGUUUUACAGGUGUCCAGAAGAAUGGAUCAUAACAACACAAGCUAUAGACAACUAUAAAUAUUUAUUCUUCUAAUAUUAAUGAUGCAAUCAUGAUAUGGUUGAUUUCCAAUCCAAGAUGGACUUUAUGACUUAGCCUAACAAGGGUUGAAGUCCCUUUCAUGUGCUUUAAUUAUCUCCCUUACUUUUUUUUUCCUAGCGGCUUUAUAUUUUUACUAAGUAGGAAUAUCUCUGUCACACUUUACCAAAAAGUGACAUGCUUGCUUAAGGGUGAGUCUGCCUGGACACCUUAAUUAAGGAGAAUGAAGGCUAAGAUAUGAUUUCAUUAGGAUUUCCCUAAGCAGAUUGUAGGAUUGUCUUGUAGCCCUUUGUGCCACUGUUUUCAAAGAGAAAAAGAAGAACUUCUAAAGUUCUCAAGGUUAGGACAUUCAGCUCUGUUCUAAAGAAAAUUAUAAGCCUUUCAUUUUCUUCUUUCUUUAUCAGCAUUUAACCAUGACCUUGUGAUGUAUGGUAUAUACUGUGCUCAUGUACAUAAAUACAAUCAAUAGAAAAAUAAAAAACAGAAGGGCUAGAAGACGAAAAUAAAGGUAUAACUUCAAUGAACUCACCAUAAGCAGGAGGGUUUGCAAUAAUUGCCUGAGCUCUAAAAGGCACACCAGUUUCUAUAUCUGGUUCUAUGCAUGCUGGAAGAAGAGAUUCAAUAAUGGCCUUUAGCUGCUUUCUUUGUACAGAUAGUUCUCCUGGUCCAGCUGGAAUGAAACCUUUAUUUCUGGCCAUAUCUAAAAAUUAUAAAAACCCGUACUUACUAAUUGAAAAAAACAAAAAAAACAAAAACAAAAACAAAAACAAAGAGAAACCAAGCUGAUAAUAUCAACCAUAUUUCUGAAAUAGUUAAAACAGAGCUUGGGAAUUGAAGGCCUUUGUCUCAAGAGAUUGAAAUCUUGAUCUGUAUCUCACUUCUCACCAAAACAAAAUUUGUACAUUGUUUCUAGAGGUAACCUUAAUAGCAGGGCACCGAUUUGCAUAAAGCCCUAGUUAAAACAUUAAUUUGUCCAUUACAUAAAACUGUUAUGUCUUGCUUGGCAAUUGUUUUCAAGAACAAUAUUUUAUUCUCCAAAAUAAAAAAUAAAAAAUAAAAAAGAAAAACAGGAAAACAUGUUUAAUAAUCAGAAAACUGUUUUUCUUUUAUGUUCUUAAAAACAAAAAACAUGUUUGUUUUCAGAGAACAUUUUUUAAUUGUUUUCACUUGUUUCCUGAGGUAUUUUAAAAAAUAAUUGUAUAAAUAUGAAAAAUGAUUAAAAAUAAAGCCCCAUAUAUAAAAAUUAUUUUUAAAACAUAUUUCAAACCAUUAAAAAUAGGUUAAAAACAUUUCAAAUUUCUAAAUAACCUUUUUUUAUACAAAACAUUAGAGGACAACUUUAAAAAAGUAUUCUCAAAAAUUGUUUUUCAGAAUUGUUUUCAAAAACAGUUGCCAAACAGGCCCUUAUCGUUCCAUCUAAUAAAAAGAAAUCAUAUACAUGUAUUAAAUUGCAGUCUGCCAAGGGUCCGUAAAGGCCAUGGCAAAACAGGUAACAGAAAGGGAUAAUUGUGAAAAGGAGGGUCUAAUAUAAAGUGAUCUACUAAUAAAUCAUCAUGAUAAAGCAAAUCAAAUUUUGUUGGAAAAAAAUAUAAAAUUCCAAAACUAAGAGCCUCUUACAUCCUGCCAAAACCCGAGGAUCACCACCCAAAGGAUAGAAGUCCACACCAGCUGACUUUACAAAAGUACAGAAGUUACUAUGAGUUGCCAACCUAACAUAAUGACCAAAUUCCUGCAGGUACACACAGAAUCAGUUUCAACAAAGGAAAAAAGUGAAUAACAAGGUCUGCUCAUCCCAAAAACUAGAAACAUUGGGCUACACAAUAUUGAUGUAAGUAACUUAUUCUGUCCAGCACAAAAUAAUAGCACAGGUAGGUUACUGACGCUUAAGAUCAACAAGAUUGAUAUUUUGUAAACCACAGCCAACCUACCACUCCAUGAGCCCUAAAAUUCAUAAAAAGAUGAAAGAAGGUUUUGAUGCAUAAAGCAUUACUGGAAUCAAGCUAUAGGCUGCAAUCAUGCACAGCAAUGGAUAGACUCGUCUUGUCAUGCUCAUUAACCAUAUCCACACUACACCACAACUAUUUGAGGCUCUCCAAAAGAGGUGCAACUGGAUUACCCAUGCAAUAAGUAAAAUGCAAAAAAUUGAGUGAUUCAUCCCAUGGUGCUGCAUCUUUAGAAAAAGGAAGAAGUGAGAAGCUAAAAGAUAUCAAUACUUUGAAGGCUUCCAUGAAAAACCACAAAGAAGGGAUGCAAGAGGAAAGGCUUCAAAAACAUUCAACCCACUCUUCAUGAUUAAACAAGAAGCUCUUAGAUAUCAUUCUUGCAGCAUGAUCAUUCAAUCUGAAACCAGCAAUUGGUUUAGAUACCAUUUCAAAAAACUAAAAUUACUAUUUCUUCUUCCAUAGAGCUAUUUCCAAUACUUUAAUAGCUCUUUCAAAGAACCAGAAGUAUUAUUUCUUCCAUAUUGCUAAAACUCCAGUUUUUAGGCAUCAUAAGAUUGUGACAAUGUUUUCAAUAUGUGGGAUUCAAAGGUAGUUUCAGCAUUAGCAUAUUCCAACUCCCUUCAUCCAUUGUUCUUUUUAUCAGAUAAAGCAACAGAUCAAUAUUGUCCCAGUUGAACAACCAAUUUUCAUAAAAGUUUAAGCUUGUAUGAUUUAUGUUCAUAGAGUAUAUCAUGCUCUUUAACACCAUCCCACAUGUGAAGUCUCAUACCCACAUGUGGAGAGAGACAUAGGCUUGUAGGCAAAUAACCACAGUUAGCCUCUUUUGGGCCUACACAAUAAAUUAGGGAAAUGAAUAUGAGAUAAGCUUUGAAUACAUGACUUCCUGCCAAACGAGGCUUUGACAUCAUGUUGAACUAACAAUUUCCUAGAAUUUUGAACUUGUAAGGUUUGAGUUCACAAUGCAUAUCACGCUCUUUAACAAUCCCCUUACCUGGAUCAGUGCCAUGAUAGCUAAAGCUGUGCAAAUUGACAUCUAUGUUGCAUGGAUUUGGGCAGGGGUGUUGGUUGUAGGUGUAUGUUGUAGGAUACGGGAACUCAUCAGCAAAAUGAUCUUGAAUGGUACUUAGACAUGACAUGAUACAGGAAAAAAAAACAUAUCCUUAAUAAAUAAAUAAAAUUCUCUUUUAUUGCCUAUUUUUAAAAAAAAGAAAAAAAUCAUUAUAGAUUAACCUUGAAUCCAGAAUUGCCUUUCCUUUAUAACUUUAUUUGAAGCAAAAUAGGAGGUUUCCAACGAGAAUCCCACACCUACACCCUUGUCAUGUCAUGUCGACAUAGGUUAGUUGAAUGAAGUUGAAGGGUUUGGGUAUCAUAGAUUAACCUUGAAUCCAGAAUUGCCUUUCCUUCAUAACUUUAUUUGUAUCAGUGAUGAUAUUAAUGGCUUGCUCCCUUAGCACAAUUGUUGAAGGUGGAUGCUAUCAGGGGCCAGGUUCUAAGGUAGUCAAUGGUCUUUUGUUUCCUCCCAUAAAUCAUCAUAUUUUUCCAUAAUGUCCCAAAAUAGGGAAACACCACUCAUGAUGCACACAUUAGGCAAGAUUAGGAUUUGAUGUAGGUUCCUUAUAUUAAUUUAGGAGCUUUUAGGAUUAAAGCUUAAGAAUAUUAUAUUUCAAGGUUGUCAAUAUUGAGAUUUAUAUGGGAUCAAUAAAGAAUCUAUCAGAUUGCUUUUCUAUAUUCGAAACAGAAUUGUGAAAUAGUCGAUAUUUUUUUUUUUUUUUGAUAGGAAACGACAACGGGAUAUAUUGAUAAAAAGAAGUUACAACUAGAAGGAUGAGAAAUCCUCCCACCAAAGAAAAACAAGACUACAAGAUCAAAUAAAAGAAAUACAACUAGAGAAUAAGCAAACGGUCUAUUUACACACCGCUAACCAAUCAAGUUGUAACAUGUUAAGAGGAAUCCCUUUAAAAACCUUAGAACAAAAAGCCCAUAGAGAAGCCAAAAAACGAAUAGAAUCCCAAAGACACCCUGAAUUCCUUGCUUUAUCCUCAAAAAUCCUUGCAUUUCUUUCCCGCCACACCACCCACAUUAACGCGAUGCACGCGUCUUGCCAUAACACAACCCCUCUCUUAGAAGAACCGAAACCAUUAAAAUUAGUAAAGAACAUGUCAGAGAUGCUCCUUGGGGAAACCCAAUCCAUCUUUGCUAACUGAAAUAAUCUGUGCCACAACCCCUUGGUCAACGAGCAAUGGAGGAAAAGGUGAUCUACUGUUUCUCCAUGCUUCAUGCACAACUUACAUAUGUUGGGACUAAGUGCUUUGUGGGGUCUUCUCAAUUGUAGCAAGUCAUUAGUCGAUAUGAAAUACAUGUGAGCCAUAACUAGCUCAAAAGUGUCCACAUAUGAGGUUAUGCCUCAUUAAGGCCUUAUACUUUUGAGGCAAUGACUGGGACUCAGGCCUCAAGGCACUCGUUCAACCCAUAAUUCCAAAAAUUCCCCUCAAGAGAAAACUUUGUCUUUUAAAAACUGCUAGCCAACUUUACAAUGAAUAUUGAAGAUUAAACAAGGAUAGACAAUCCCACCCCAAAUUCAUGAAUAACAAUCACACACAAUAAUACACACACAUAUCACAAACUAAAUUUUGGGCAAGAUAUUUUAUAGUAAACUGACAAAGUUCUUUGUCAGCUUAUGAAGGAAAUUCCACAAACAUAUGGAAAAUAUGUUUCCUUUGGAAUCAGAAAACAAAUGAGAGAUCACUUGUUAUUCCAUCAGCAUAGUAACAAAUAAUAUUAAACCUAAGGUCUCAACACUAAACUUUUGGGUUUUGGGAGAAGCUGAUGUAUUGAACACACCUGAAGUCUCUUUGCCACUGCCAGAAAUGGUUGUACAUCUCCUCUUGUUCCAACCACAAGCAUCACAAUUUUCAACUUUGGAACUGAUUUAUUGAAUUCAAAAUAAGAUUCAUCAAUAUGAAUGGAUGAUAUCCCUUCAAUAGCACGGAGCUCUAACAACUCUGAAGCCACAGGUGCACUAUUAUCUAAAUCAACCUCCACCGUCCCAUCACUUUGGAUCUUCACUAGGUUUGCUAUUAAUUUUUGCUGAGAACAAGAACAUAUUGGUAUUAAUGGAUGCAAAGUAAUACAAGAAGGAUACAGACAUAUAGGGAAAAGAAAAAAGGAUAAGCAUUUCUCAUUAGUUUCUAAACAGAGAACCCAACAGAAAAGCAGGCUUCUCGAAUGGCAGCAGAAAUUAGUAAGUUCAUGACAAAGCAUACAAAACAUAUUGUAAUUUAACGUUAGAUCAAUAAUGGAGAAAACAUUAUUAUCUGGCAGCUUCAGGUGUGAGCUGUCAGAUUAUGAGGGGGGUGAUAUCAAUAAAUGUGCAUGGUGCCAUCACUCUUACUCAAGCACAAGAUGUAGACUAUGGUAUAGUAUAGAAUGAUACAAUUACACAUAUAUAGCCACCCCAGAUAUGCAUUUGUAAUAUAACACAUGUUCUGGUUGUGUACUUGACUAAUUGUAUAGUAACACCGAUAAAAAAUAUGGGGCAAGAUUUGCAAGAAUGAGUGUUGAAACUUGCAGUGUGUGAUUCUGAUAUUCACCUUUGCACGUUCUGACAGUCUAUCUAAUUUUAAGUCAUGCCGUGGACCCUCCUUCUUCUCAGUCAUAGAUCUAAAUAAUCCAAUCUCAUUGCCGUCAAUUAGCAAAUUUUUGUGUGUGCCAGCAGGAGCAGUGAUGCAAUGAUCCAAGCCUUCAAGAAAGAUGCCUUGAUGUCCGUUAACAUUUCAAUAAAAUUUAACAAAGGCAAAAUAAAAAAAAAAGGAACACAUUUCUAAACAAUAUAGCUAUAAAUUCAAGAUAACAUAACAAGAACCAAGUUUGACUCUACAGUUUGACUCCAUGAGUUCCACAAGAGGUGAGCACUAUAAUUCAUUACAUCUCAUUGUAAGACUAUAACUGGCAAGGAAGUAUUCUAAAUCUCAAUAUAUAAUAACUUUCAAAAUCAUUAUUUUUUUUUUAUUAGACUUUCAAAAUCAUUAUUGGAAAUUGUAAAGUAAUAAAAUAAACAGUAUGGUGCUAUAAAAAAGCUAUAAACGACUUUGUUAUGCAGUAAAUGCAUAUCAAAUCAAAUCAACAGAUGCAUAUGUGAUCAACAUAGCUCAACUCAAGAAGACCCCAUUACAUACUAAAAGGAGAUGCUGUGAACAUGUGCAUAGUCAAAGGUCUAACUAAAAUGGGAGACUUUAACCCAAUACUAAACAAAAAUAACAAAAAAAAAAAAACAACAAAACAAAAGCCCACAUACAAAACAAAACAAGCAAAUAAACAAACCUUAAUGGGACUUGUGGAUAAGGAGCUUGCUAGUGCUGCAUAAGAUUCUCAGUGAAGUUCAAAAGAGCCUUUUAACUUUAUCCUGGUUUCAAGGCCUACCAAGGACCUCACCCUACACGUUCAAGCUUAUUAAGGAUAUUCUAAAUGUAUCAGAAAGUGAUCUUAGUGAUCCACUUGUACAUAAAUUCCAUGAUAAGCAAUGAAAAAUAUUUUAUUGUAUUGAUGAUGAUAAAUCUCCAAGAUCCACUUAAGAAAUGAAUGAAAGGAAAUAAAGAAACCCUAAAUUACCCUAUUAAGGGUAUUUAGGUAAUUUUGCAUAUAAUUGGUUAAUAAUUGCUAUUUAAGUUGCAUUUAAAAUUUGGGGAUUUUUUUGCUACAUGAGUUAGGUUUACUUUUUCAUAGUUUUAUUCAAUUUUAGGGUUUUCUAAAGCCUAUAAAUUAGGAUGAAUGAUUAAUGAUGAAUAAUAUUAAGUUUUCUUACAUACCUUGCAAUUUCCAAUAGUCAGACUUUAUUGCCCUUCUUCUAGCUAAGACUCCUAAAAUGCCUUAUUAAAAAUCCAAGAAUACCUUAUCUUUUCUAUCUUUACUUCCCCCCAUUGUUAUAAUUUUAUUCUCUUUCUUCUCCUUAAACCCUAAAUGAUUAAAGUUCUAAGCCACUUAUUUGAUUGUAAACAAUCAUCUUAGGGUUGCCCUACAUCAAUUGUCUUACAUAUUGCUAGUCUCACAUUGCUAUGGACUAUUUAACGAGAAAGAAAUGCGAGGAUUUUUUAUAAUAGAUGGAGGUGUUUGGAGCCAAUUCAGGACUUGCUUUAUUUCUCAUCUUCUCUUUCUGAUUCAACUCAGAAAACCUUUGCAAGCACACCUUUGAGACUUACAUCAAUAGAAUGAAACCUAAUGUGCAAGUCCACAAGAUUGACUAGGGAGACAAUUUCUGUAAGGUCACUACCUUCUGUGGGUUUUAUCAGUUGAAUUUUGAUGGGUAUUUUGUUGGGUAACUCAAGACAUCUAAGGAUUGAAGGAUUGCAUAAAAAUCAUUUUUGGUACAGUGGAAAGAGCUCCCUCUAAACCUCUUGGAGAUGGUUUAGCCAUUGAGGCUGUAGUUUUAGCCCUGUUGAAGGUGUGGCCCAAGGCAAUGCUUUUGGCCUUUCCAAUCUUUUAGUACGGGAAUAUUCUGCUUGUCAUAUCAUGAGUAACAAAAAAAGAAAGGACUAUGGAGGCUUGAUGAGCAGCUUAACUAAAUUUUUUAUAUUGCUUCAAAGUUG
Molecule: long non-coding RNA, 72526 nt
Filed under: Vitis vinifera (wine grape)
Lineage: Eukaryota; Viridiplantae; Streptophyta; Magnoliopsida; Vitales; Vitaceae
Description: long non-coding RNA (VVIN_LNC006177)
Source: RNAcentral